CUUCCGAUUCUUCCGUAUUAGGUGAUCUAAAUUCAAAUUUCAUCAAUAUUAGUGUGUCAACUACUAAAGGAAAACGUGAUCGCCUUGUGUGUACUCACUGCAACUUGCCCGAACACACUGUCGAUAAGUGUUAUAACCUUAAUGGUAACCCACCUGGCUACAAAUUCAAACCAAAGGGGAACCCGCCAAGAUUCACGUAAAUCAAGUUAGCUCAUUAGUUGGAGAUGGAAUAGUCAUCCCCUCAUCGAAGACGUCUCUCAACACUCUGACCUCCGAUCAGUGCAAUCAGCUUCUUGCCUUUCUAAGCUUCCAACUUCAGCUUAGUUCUUCUAGCACUUCGGAUGUACAACCUUCUGGGCCAUCUGUGUCUAGUUUCAAUGGUAAAUUCUCUUUAUCUUCCACUAUUUCUUCAUUUUCCAGUAAUUUUUUUUCUAAUUCUUGUGUUAUCCAAGACCAUACACAGGGCAAGAUGAUUGGGAUGGGUAGAAGAGUUGGAAACCUCUGUCUUGAAUACAAGGAAUGUUGUUCCCAAAUCCUGUUUUGCUCCAAUUGUUUGUAAUAACGUCUUUUUGGAUCAUAGUACAAUUUGGCACUUUAGACUAGGGCAUCCUUCUUAUGCUAAGAUUUCUACAAUGAAAAAUGAUCUACUUAUUAUUCAAAGUUCUGAGAAUACUUCACAUUACUCUAUUUGUCAUUUGGCCAAACAACAUCAUUUGCUUUUUACUUCUAAUUCUCUUUCAGAUUCCCAUUUUCAACUUGUUUAUUGUGAUAUUUGGGGCCCCUUUAUACCACUUAUACAUUAAUUCACACUCAAUUUGGCGUGUCAAUUAAAUCAAUCCAUUCUGAUAAUGCUCCAGAAUUUGCAUUUUCUGAAUUUUUUCAGGCUAAAGGCAUCAUCUCUUAUCACUCUUGUGUAGACACACCACAACAAAAUUCUGUUGUGGAACGAAAGCAUCAACAUAUACUCAAUGUUGCACAUGCAUUGUGUCACGCCCUAAAACUCACUUUAAGGGAUGACGGUCAUUUCAUACAUCAAACCCAAAAGCUCAAAGUGGAAAUAACACAAUAUUCAUCUUAUAACUGGGAAUUACCAAUUACCAAUUUCCUGUUCAGAGUAAUAAAAUAAAUAAAUUCUAUGAUCCUCAAUUCUCAACUUUAAAAACUAACACAUCAACCAAAGUGUUAUUGUCCAAAUAACUUCAAACUCAAAUAAUUUAAACAUGAACUAAAUUUUAACAUAUAAACAAUGUUCAAAAUAAAGUUUGAACCAAAAUCCUAACAAGAAAAAAAAUUCUCCAACCUAGCUAUCACUCCUCGCCCCAACUGAGGUUACCUGAAAGAUUAUCAAUAAAGGGGGAUGAGCUCAAAGCCCAAUAAGGAACAUUAAUACAGUUUUAUGGAUCAAACAUUUUCAAUCAUGGUUGCAAAUAGGAAAUGUAACAUAUACUUAUUUUCAUAAAAACUUUUGAGUUCAAAAUACUAAUACAUUCAAACUUUUCAAUAAAACUUUCUUAUAUCCAUUUCAAAACAAUUUCUUAUCAAAAUCAAAACAAAUACAUUCAAAAUAUUUUUACUUUGGUUAUCGAAUAACAAAUUGUGCCCAAUUAGGUGGGACUUCACAAAUGAAUGGCUAGUUUCAAAUUUGUUCUAGUUAAAGUGAAUAAAACUAAACGUUAACAAUUAUAACUCGUUGACUAAGGUCAUAAAAUCAACUAUUAUAACCCAUUUAUUAGGACCGAAAAUGUCAACAAUUAUAACCCGUUGACUAGGGUCAUAUAAUCCAGAGUCAAACACUUUAUGUCAUUAAUUCAAACUUACAAAACAAAAUAUCAUAUCUCUUCAAUUUUUCACUUUUCAUAAACAAAGAAAAUUUUCAAAUGUAUUUUGCAUACAAAACACAUAUUUAAUCCAUGCGAAAAGAUAAAAAUAAUAUUUUUACACAUUUCAAAAUACAAUAUAAAAGAAAAUUAUUUUAUUUCAUAAAAAUCUGCAUUAUUUUCUCUUACCGUAAAUAAGCGCUCAAAAACUUGAAGUAUUUAGUUUAACGAAUUUACUCAUCACCUAACAUAAUAUCAUACACAAUUAUCUAAAGGUAAAAUUUUGACAAUCCUAAAAAUAUUUUAUUUAGUAUUAGGGAUCCUAAUUAAUUUCUCAUGCUAAUAUUAUUAUUACCCAAUAUUAUUUUCAACUUACUAAACAAUAAUAAAUUAAUUUAGUAAGUUUCCAAAUUAUUGUAAAAUUCAUUUUCUUUCCUAAUCUUACUUUCACUAUUUAUUUCUUUAUAUACUUAAAUUAAAUUAAAACUUAUACAAGAAACUAUUAUUAUUGUUCCCAUAAUCUAACUGUCACUUAACUACAAUUUCACCCCCACACCCCAUUAUAUAUAUAUAUAUAUUAUUACUUUCAAAGACCCUGCAACACCAUUACUCCAAGCCACCAACUACACCCAUUAUUAUUAUAAUAAUAAUACCACAUUUUUCUUCUUCUUCUUCUUUUGUUUCUUCUUUUCUUGACGUCCACACGCAUCCUUUUUUUUUUUUCUUUUAAACCUCUGCUACACCACACACAUCUACAUUGUUAUUUUUUUCUUUACCGUUCUAGAAAAUCACACGACUCUUAUUUUAUUUGUUUAUUAUUUUUUUCUUUAUAGAUCUAUUCAUUUGAGUAAUCAAAAUCUGUCAAUCUCCAUUAAUAAAUCAAAUUAUAUUCAUAAAUUUUUAAUCCUUUUGACCUAUAAAUUAAUUAAACGAACUCAAAUAAAAAUUGAAAUAUUCUAAAGAAUAUCUAAAGUGUUCAAAACUAAUUAAUGAAUAUAAAAUAUAAAUUUAAGGAUUAAAAAAUCUUACCUGAAAAAUUGAUCUUCAAACCCUAAACCUCCAAAUCUUCAGCCCUAUGCUCUUUGAUCUUUCUGAUCUCUGUGUAAAAAAGUUUUCUGAAUAGAAAAGAUAGGAAAAAUCUAAUUAUAUAUCUAGGGGUUUUUAAUAUGAAAAGACUUGUUUACCCUUAUCAAAUUACUUUAAUUAAUUAAUAAUUUCUAAAUUAUGAUUUUACCCCUAAAUUGGGUUUAGAGCAGUACACAUUGCACUUCCAAUCUAAUAUACCUUUAGUCUACUAAGGGGAUUGUCUUCUUACUUCUGCUUACCUCUUUAACCAUACUCACUCUCCACUUUUGUCAAAUAAGACACCAUUUAAGUUGUUUUGGCAUAAGAAACCUUCAUAUUCUCAUCUUCGCAUAUUUGGUUGCUUGUGCUAUGGGUCUACUCUGACUAGGCAUCGUUCUAAGUUCUCCCCACGAGCCACUGUAGUUGUCUUUCUUGGUUAUCCUCUUGGUUACAAGGGUUACUAGCUCUUUGAUCUCAUGACUCAUGAUGUCUUCAUUUCUCAAGAUGUAAUGUUUCAUGAAUACAUUUUUCCUUUUCGAUCCAAUUCUCCAUCAACCACUUAUUCUGAUUUUUUUUUUCUAAUCGUGUCUUACCCUUUCAUUCCUCGAUUAUGCCUCCACCACUUGAUAAUUCUACCUCCUCGUUUAUACCACAUAAAACUCACAAGACACCUUCCUACCUUCAAGAUUAUCAUUGCUACUCUAAUUCUUUUUUUUUCUCCUCUACAUUUCACCCUCUCUCAAAGGUCCUCAUCUAUGAAAAGUUAUUUCCUUCAUAUUAUGCCUUUGUCCAUGUUGUCUCCUCACAUGUUGAACCAACCACUUACUCUCAGGCUAUUCUCAUUUCGAAAUGGUGAGAAGCAAUGAAGUCUGAGUUGCAAGCUCUUGAAAAUAAUGGAACUUGGUCUAUUACUUUUUUCCUAUUAGGCAUACACCCAAUUAGAUGUAAAUGGGCUUACAAAAUUAAAUAUCAUGUAGAUGGUACUUUGGAAAUAUACAAGGCCUACCUUGUUGUUAAGGGCUACAAUCAACAACAGGACAUUGAUUACCUUGACGUUUUUUCCCCAAUUGCCAAGCUUGUUAUAGUCAAAGUUUUUCUUGCAUUGGCUACCAUUUUUUGUUGGACUCUUGUCCAACUUAAUGUCAAUAAUGCCUUUCUACACGAUGAUCUCUUAGAAGAGGUGUACAUGUCAUUGCCUCUUGGUUAUCACCGUGAGGGGGAAUCUUUGCCUACUAAUGUUGUUUGUAGACUUCAUAAAUCUCUUUAUGGUUUGAAGCAAGUCUCACGAUAAUGGUUCUCCAAAUUUUCUAGUGUUCUACUUGCAAAUGGCUUUCAACAAUUAGUUGUUGAUAGUUCUCUUUUCAUUAAAUCUACAAAAGUCUAUGUUCUUGCUCUUUUAGUCUACAUCAAUGACAUAGUUAUUGCCAGCAAUAAUCCCCAACAAGUAAAUAACCUCAAAAAGUUUCUUGAUGAUCAUUUUAAACUUAAAGAUCUUGGCCAGCUAAAAUAUUUUUUGGGGCUUGAAGUGGCUAGAUCUGUAAAAGACAUUUCUCUUAGUCAACGUCACUAUGUUUUACAACUUAUGUCUAACACAGGCCAUUUUGGUUUUAAGACACGAAAAACUCCAAUGGAUCCAAAUGUAAAACUCUCACAAGAUGAGGGAGAGCUACUUACUGAUCCAUUUCAAUAUAAGGUUAAUUGGGAAACUUUUAUAGCUCACUAUUACCAAACCAAACUUAUUUUUUUUUUGUCAAUCAUCUCAGUCAAUUCCUAGCCAAGCCAAUUGUACCAUAUCUACAAGUUACAUAUCGGGUUCUUCGGUAUAUCAAUAGCACAAUAGGACAAGGCCUAUUCUUCACCUCAUCAUCCACUCUUGAUCUGAAAUGAUUUGUUGAUUCUGAUUGGGCUUCUUAUCCAGACAACAGGAGACCCAUUAGUGGUUUUUGCAUUUUCAUUGAGAAAUCUCUAGUUUCGUGGAAAUCUAAGAAACAACACAUUGUUUUUAGGUCCUAUGCUGAGGCAAAGUAUAGAUCUAUGUCCAAUGCUACCUGUGAAUCAAUGUGGUUGCUUACUCUCUUCAAGGAUUUGCAUGUUGAGCACCAAAAACCAGCAAUCUUGUUUCGUGAUAACCAAGUUGCCCUUCAUAUUGCAGCUAAUCCCGUCUUCCAUGAACACACAAAACACAUAGAGAUAGAUUGUCACCUAGUCUGAGAAAAGUUUCAAAGUGUAAUGAUUAAAACUCUACAUGUUUCUUCCCAAUACCAAGUGGCGAAUAUCUUUACUAAACCAUUGUUUCCUGCUCAGUGUAAAUUUUUACCCAAUAAGAUGGGAGUACACAAUAUUCACUACCCAUCUUGAGAUGGGGUAUUAAAGUAGCAGGGUAUUUUUGGUAAUAAAAGGUUUGGUUUGUUAGAGUUUAGUUAGCCCUCUUUUGUUUGUUUGUUUUACUGUUAAUUGGUUGAGCUCGUAGUUUGUUGCAUGUAAUUGUCUCCAUCCACCAUAUAAGCCUUCUUUUGUACUGGUUUUCUAAUCAAGAGAAAGAAAUAGAAUCCUUUUCCUCUUAGACUUAUCACUAAGCUUUCUAAUAAUGCCAUAAAGAAAAUCAACACUAAAUCUGAUACAACCCCCGAGACCGAAAAUGGAUUGCAACAAAAAUACUGUAUCGAUUUUGGUUCAAUAUAUAUACUCAAGUCCAGAUUUCAAGAAAAUUGAUAUAGAAAAACAUUGGGUAUGACAUUAAAAAAAGAUCAAUAUUUGCCCUACAAUAUCAAAAAAGGUGACACCUCGUACCAAAUUCACUUUCAAGCACUUUACGAUCAUGAAAACAAAUAUUAUAGGCUAAAAGUGUAUCAAAAGAAGCAUUUUUGCUGAAUUUUACAACUAAACUUUAUUCAUUACUACUUCAAAAAUGUCAUACUUUUCGAGACUAUUCCAACACUAAAUACUCAAUCUUGAUCAUUGGAGGUUUGGAAUUAGGGCAAAACAAUAGCAUCUUUGGAUUUUCAAGGUCUUAUUUCACACAAAUUAGAUUUUCAAAUCCUUAAUUCUUUUAGUUGUAUCAAACUAGAAAAAUAUAUUUUAAAAAAUAAAAUUUUUUAUUUUUAUUAAAAAAAAAUUAACAGAAGUACACAACCCACUUGACCUAUAAUUAAAUUGUCAUUUUUUUAAUGACAUUAUUUUGUUAAAGUUUCCAAAUUUCAUGACUUCAAUACAAAUAUGUUUGGCAUAAGACUCAUGGUAAUUAAUUAGUUUCAAACCAAUAAUCUUUUAAGCAAAAUUUCCAACCUAGUCUAAUGCAUUAACAAUAGGCGCUAUAUAUAUGAUUAUAAAAAGGCUAAAUAAGGGUCAAAUUAAUUAUACCCUUGAAGAAUUAUUAAUUUUCCUAAAAGUUUAACUUAUUAGGUUCCAUAAUGUAUAUCAUACUCUCAAACACUCUCUCUCACUUGUGGCCCAUUAGAAAUUAAUGUUUUUUUAAUUUUAUCCACCUAUAAAUUGACUCAUUUUAUCAAUCUGUAGGGUAUUCAGUUGCUAUUUCUCUCCCCUUUCUCGUUACUAGAUUCCAUAUUGAGUUUCUAAUUUUCUCGUCUCUCUUUCUCAUUGUUAGAUUUUAUUUACCAAUAAAAUGAUAUAAUUUAGCAUCUUAAAGGCCUUAGUGUUUAGUGCGUUUUUUUUUUUUUUUAGCAAAUCCUAUCGUCCAAUAUAAGAUAUCAUUUUGGAACUUGCUUCAUUACAUGACUUUAGAUUUAUGUUUUUCAUGCCUCUCUUUAAUUCUCUUGAGUAUUGUCUCUCUCCAACAUUAUGGUUAUGAUUACCUCAUGUGGUAUUUUCAUCUCACAUUAUUUUAUAAAUAACUAAAUUUCAAAUUUAUUCUAAAAUAUUUAGUCAUAAUAAUCUUUAUUCUUAUUUAAUUUUACUAUCACUAUGAUGUUUACUAGGUUUAUGAAGAUUGUGAAUAGAUUUCAAGCUUUAGGCAUAAUGGAAAAAGUCAUGAAGAUUUUGAAAUCCCAAAGAAAUAGAAAGUUAAGGUGAUCAUCAUUCAAGAAGCCAAUGAUCUUUCAAAGAUCCCACUUAAAGAACUCAUUAGGUCACUCAUGACUCAUGCGAUGAACAUGAACAAGCAUUAAGAGGUUGAAGUAAAAAAAGAAAUGAUAUAUCAUUCAAAACUUCAAUAAUUGAUUAUAAAUAGGAAGAAAGUGAAGACGAAGACCUUGAUCUCUUCUCAAAGAAGUUCAUGAAGUAUAUUAAGUUUGAGAAGAUUAAGGGGAAAAAAUCUCAGUCAAAUAAGUCCUCAAGUUCUAAAAAAAAGAAGAAAGCAAUGGUGGCAACAUGGAGUGAAAGUGAUAUAGACUCCAUGAAAGAAGAGUGCACAAAUGAGAAUGUCAACAUGUGUUUCAUAGCUUUAGAGGGUCAUGAAGAUGAAGUAAAUUCUGCAACUAUAAAAGAUGAAUUACAAAACGUUUGUGAAGAAUUAUACCUUGAUUUUGAAAAGUUUUCUUUGAAAAAUGUCGCUUUCAAAAAGAAAAAAAUUUUCUCUUGAAAAUGAGCUCAAUGAGCUUAAAGAAAAUUUUAAAAAUAUUAAUAAGGAAAAAAUAUCUUUUGAAAAAUAAAAUGAGUUGAAGAAGAAGAAUAAGUGGUUAAUAUAUUCUCCAGAAAAAUUCUCAAAUGGUCAGAAAGCCUUUAACAUGAUCUUAGCAAGUCAAAAAUAUAUUUUUUUUAUAAAGAAAAAAAAAUGGGUUACAAGACUCAUAAAAAUGAAAUAUACUACAAAAACUAUUUUGUGCAAGAAGCUUCAAGUAUUAAUCCAUACACUAUUUGCAAUUUUUUGUGGGAGAUGAGGACACAUUAGUUGUAUUUGUCCUUUAAAAAAAUCUCCUCAUGUUGCUCAAGAUUCUAAAUUAUUUUGGAUUCCAAAAAAAAAAAAAUGUUAAUCCUUUAGGACCCAAGAAGAAUGAUUACCAAAGGUUACCUAAUUUGUUUUGUAAGGACCCAUGCAAGAAAAAAGAGGAUAUGCUUACCUUGAAGACAAUUGACAUGAAUUUUUUUCUUUUCUUGGAAAUGGUAUCCCUCCCAUAGUUCAAAAUAUGUUAAUAAUGCAAAAUAUCAUUUUAUUAUACAUAAAUCAUCUUUGAAGAAAAUAUUUUAAAUAUCACCUUUUGAUUUAUCAUUUGGAUGCGAACAACCAAAAUUUUCAAAUCAAAAGAAAGUUUUUGGGAAAAAAUUGAUAUAUAUGAAUGAUAUAACAUUUCUUAGUUUUUUUUAUCCUUGUAACUGUUUUGUUGAAAAUAUAUCAAAGAUGAUAAUGAGCUAGAAAUUGGAAGAAGAAUAUUGAUGAAGCUUAGCUCAACAUCAAGGGAAAGUGAAGGAGAUUCAAAGGUCAAAUGAAAAUGAAGAAAACUCCACAACAAAGAGAGCAAGCAAAUAAAGAAUCUUCCAAUGGAAUGGAGAUAAUGUAAGUCUUCAUCAAAUGGAUUAUAUUAAUGAAAACUCAACAAGUAAGGUAAUUUUUAUUUUUAACUUAAAUGUGUUUAUUUGUCUUAUUAUCUUGUUGGAUUGAAAUUUUCAUAAGGCAAAAUUAAUAAUAUUUUUAAGUUAUGAUCAUGCAUAAAAAGUGUGAAAUCAUUUUGAUAAAAUUGGUAUAAUUGCUAACUUAUGGUUUGGAUUAAAAUGCAUAUAUUCUCUUAUUCCCUUACAUUUUAUUUUUUUUCCAAAUCAUGAUUUAAAUUGGAAAUGUUCUAAGUUUGAACAAAGUUUUAUUUGGAAAAUGUUUGAUAUAAAAAAGAUGGAGAAAUAGUAAAAUGAUUUUAUCCUGCAUAUUUCUAUGAAAAAUGAUGAUUUUUUUAAUGUUAAAAUUUAUAAAAUCAUUUUUAGUUGAUAUCAUAAUUCUCUCUCCAUGCUUAAAUGAAACUUUUUAUAAAUAACAAAAAAAUGGAGAAGUAAUAAUAGAUUGCUAACUUGGGGUGAAGUAAUUUGAAAUAUUAACAUUGUUUUAUCAAUCCUAUCAAUAUUGAUUUUAUGUGCUUAAUUGGUCAUAUAUACAUAUAUCAUAUUUAAUGUUUAUAUUUUACCAUAUUGCUAACCACUCUUUAUGCUAUUUAUAUUUGGUUGUAUUUUUUUUUAGCACCCUUAAUAUACUUCUUAAAGUUCUUAAACUUGAAUAUCUUCAUAAAUAAAAUGAACAUUUAUUGAGGGGGAGCAUUUUAGCAACCUUGAUUUUGCCAUCAUCCAAAGGAGGAGAUUGUAAAACCAAGUUUUGGUUAAUCUUGGUUUUGAUGAUAACAAAACAAGGUUUACAACUGAUGUUAAAGUGUAUUUAGGCAAGAAGAUUUUUAAAGUGGAAAUCACAAAGAUAAAUCAAAGUAAAAGAAAAUCAAGAAUGAGAAGAAGAAAACUUCAAAGAGAAUAUCAAUCAAGGCUAAUUCUCUAUAAUCUCUUUGUAAGGUUAUUCAUUCACUAGAAUCAUACAUUUCAUUUUUAUUUAAGCACUUAAAAUCAUCCAAGUGCCUAAAUCAAUUUUAUUUUUUUACAAAUUGGAUUAUUUAAUGUUUUUUAUUUAGACCCUAAACCUAAUCCUUCCUAAACUUGUUUUAAAGGGUUUUAAAAAGUUGAACACAAAUUAUAAAGUUCCAAGCCUCAAAUCGAGGUCUUUUAUGUACUUUAUAAUGCAACCAAUUAGGCUAAGGAGGAGUCAAUUGGGCUUAGUCGAUCAAGGUGUACUUGUACUUUUUCACUUUAAAUAGCAUGUAUUUAACUAGUCGAUGUUAAACCUCAACUGAUUGAGAGCCAAUUGGGCAACGAUAACCUCAACUAGUAGCCAGUUCGACUGGUUGGUCAAUCAAUCAACCCUAGACUAUGUCUACCUGCUAGUUUAAUUCCAACUCUUAUUUACUGGCUUCAAACUUCUUGUUUUGUGUGGGGAAAGAAUUCUAAUUCAAGAGAAGAAAAUGGUGCAAGUUGAAUAACUCUAGAUUUUGAAAGAUCAAGAAGGCGUUAAAUGAGAGAAUGAGCAAGUCAAGACUCAUGGAAUAUGAGGAAAUAUAAGAGGAGGAUUUCAUGAGUUUGGGAUAUGAGGAAUGACCAUUAUGAAGUAAGAAAGAAGACACACAAACAUGGACAAUGAGGCAUGAAGCAAAUUUGCAUGGAAAUUUGGAACUCAAAAUCUGGUGGUAACAUAUAUUCUAAAUUUGAGGUGAAAUUUGGAGCACUUCCCAAAGUUUAUUUUGGUCAAACUAUAUAUCAUUUAAAAGCUCUAGAAGCCAAAAAUCCAACACUUCAAAUGGUGCAUAAAUUAGAGUUAAAAUGGGAAAGUUAUGAAUGUUUGAAACAAACUGGUCAAAGAAGAAUGCUAAGUUCAAAAUUCACUAUGCAUUUCGAACUCAACCCCUUGAUUUCGAAUUAGACCUCCCUCUUCCAUUUAUGAGUUCGAAAUUGACUUAGAAGUCACUCAAAUUUCGAACUUAGCCACUGGUGAGUUCCAGGACAUGUCGAAACGAGUUCCAAAUGCCUCCAUCCAAUUCGAAAUGCCUUAUAUUCAUUUAGAACUUGUAAAUUUUGAAGCAUUUUAGGUUGUAUAUGAUUUUUCCUUGUAAUAAGUGGCCAAUGAGAGUGUGCCACGUGUUAAGCCAUUGAUGAUACCAUAUAAACUCUCUUAGUUUUAGGGUUUAGGGAUCUUCUAGGAGUUUGACAUUUUUGUAGAGAAGAAGACAAGAACUUCAGUUUGUUUCUUUUCUUCUUUAUUGAAUAUAUAUUCUUUUUAGUUUCUUUUUAUUCAAAUCAUGGAUUUUUAACUUAUUGUAAAUUGUGAAUGUGACAUCACCCCUAUGAGAGGCUAAAAAGCCAAUUUGAGGAUUGAAGCAUGAAAACCUAAGGGGUAGAAACUUAUAGGAACAAUAGGCAAAUUAUUAUAACAAUGAGAUUAAUUAUUGGUUGGAUUAUAAUUUAUCAAUUUUUUAUCCUAUCCUUGUGAGUCAUUUUAGGGAAUGAUAUAGUAGGUUAUUACCCGAUACUAGUGAUUCUUGGUAACUCUUGAGUAUUAGUUAUCCUGAUCUUCCUUAUCUUUAUUUGCCCCAAAACAAAGCUAUAAGGAGCAAGAAAAGUUAAAAAGUCAAACUUUAAGCCAGUAAUCAAUCUCAUUCAUUAUAUGGUUUUAGGAAUUUGUUUUAAAAAUGAAAAAUUAGGUUUCUGAUGCAAUUACGAGUUAUAGAACUCAAGUUGAUCGCAAGCGGCCAAGGAUCCUAAAAUCUAAGAUCACUCUACUUAAGAAACUCUUGUUUUCUUUGUUUCUAUACCUUAAGUUGGAUUGUGGAAAGCCUCAGACUUGAAUCAAUUAAAUUAAAAAUCAAUAUUCGUCUAGUUAUUAAUUUAGUUUCUUUUACUUAGUUUCACUUAAUUCACAUAUUGGUUUCUUACUUGAGGAUUUAAAUAAAAGUUAGUCAUUUAUCUUAGUAUUGACAAAUUCCAUAAGUCAAUCCUUAAAGACGAUACCUAGAGUACUAUAAAAGUCAUAGUAACUCUUUCUCUGGUUUUUCUUGACCAUAGUUGCUACAUAAAAAGGUUUACUAUUUUAAACAAUAGAAAGAAUCGAUCACUAAGUGUAAAACUUGAAAGCUUGGUUUAGAGGCCUUGAUAUAGUGAAACCUCAAGCUUUGCAUCGACACUAAAUAAGAGCGAAUGUUGGAUGAGAUUGGGUUGAACGGCUAUAAAUCUUGAGUUUGCAUUUCUCUCUACCUUACUCUCUUUAUUUGUAUGUAAUUCUCUAUUAUUUUUAUUAUAUUGUUACUUAUUUGUCUCUUACAUUCAUCAUAAUUAAUAUUUGUUAUAAUAUGCAAAAAGAAAUCAUCAUCAUAAAUAUUAUUUAUGGAUACUUAAUUGAAUUAUUUACAUGUUAUGUCAUUUUAUAAAUUAUUUAAAGGAAAUAAUUUAUUUGAAAUUACUUUUUCUUUAAUGAUAUAUAUUUUAUAGUGUUAUGUAUUCUAGCCCAAACCUCAUAUGGUGUACUAACUUAAUUUCCUAAUACAAAAAUAAUUAUUAAUAAUAUAUAAAAUAAAAUUUGAAAUUUGUAUUAAAAAAAAGUAUUCCAUUUACACGAUUUAAAGAUUAUUUAAUAUUAAUUAUUAAAAAUUUAAAAUUAAAAUUAAUUUUCAAGCAUUAAAUAAUUUAAUAUAUAAAGUUAUUAAAACAUGCUUUUAUAUAAAUAAUUUAAUUAAAUCAAAGUCUAGAGGAUUAUAUGGAGUAAGUAAAUAUAUAAUGUCAAUUUCAGCCUUUUUUACAAUAAACAUAUUAUUUAGAAGUGAAAAAAAUAAAAAUGGUUAUGCACAAAAUGACUACAGAUUAUGAAAAUAACAUCAUCUCUACUAGUAUUUUGAGACAGAUAUACGUAGCUUUCCGAAUUUUAUGUUGCACCACCUAAAAUAAGAGAUAAGCCUUUUAAUCUUCCUGCCUCGUCAGCCAUAGCAUUCUACUACUGACUAACAAAUGUAAUGGAGUGCUACUUGUCCCUUCUCAUGGCCAUAGGUUUAAGAAAGGCCAUCCUAGUGGUAAUUACCAAAAUAACCCUCCAUCGCUGGUUGCCUUGUUGGCCUCUCCAAGUUCCCUCCUUGAUAUUCAGCCCAACCCCAAGUUCAAACAUCGAAUUAUUUAAUUCGACUAAGGCAAAAUUUAGUUAGCUUUUAACUUUUGGGGGAGGAAAGAAAACUCAUGUAAUUUAAUUUGUUAAGUUAUUGGUGAAUUCAAUUAAGACUAGAGACUAUAUUUCAUUCUAUAGUGAUUUUGGAAACAUUUUUACCUUUCUAAUAUUCAAAAAUUUUAUUUUUAAGUAUUAAAAAUUAUACAAAUACUUCUUCAAAUCAUUAUCAAACAUAAUUUAAAAUAUAUUUGACAAUGAUUUUAUUUAAAAUGAUUUUAAUAAAAGUGUUUUCUCUAAAAAUAUUUUUAAAAGAAUCAAUAUUUUUACUCGAGAUGUCUUUAAUAGAAGUGUUUUUAGAAUGAUUACAUAUCAAGUAUUUCUCCAAAAAGUAUUAUAAGUGAUUUUUCAAAUUUUUAAAAAUGUUUCCUAAAUUAUCAAUCAUCUAAUUUUUUUUAUUUUUUUCAAAAACAACUUUUAGUCUAAAAACAAUUUUUAAAAUCAUUGUCAAACGGAUAAAAAAAAAUCUUUUUCCAAAAAAACACAACAAAAGACUUUCAAAUAUUAUAAGUGAUUUUUUAGAUUUUUAAAAAUAUUUCUUAAAAUUUGUUAAACACCUAAGUUUUUUUCAAAAAUAUUUUUUAAGCUAAAAACAUUUUCAAGAAUCAUUAUGUACUAAAUCUCAUCUAUUUAUAUCUUAAAUCCUAUAUAUUGGUAACAUUUUUCAAUUAUUUAUAUUUUUUUCUAUAAUUGUUGAGGAGAGCGAAAUUCCGGGCCCAUGCAAUGGGAAUGAUGUUAAAGGUUAGAGGGCAAUAAAGUAAUACAACAAUUAUAUAUCAUAUUUCCUGCUGUGUCCUAGACUCAGUAGCUUAGUAUAAUGAGUUUAUCUCCUGGAAAGUAUGAGCAGCUUGGAUGUAAAUUUUGGUUAGAAAUUUAGAAUAGCUAGCGAUGGCAGGAGCUCUGCUGGGCACUUGUUUCUCAUCUGCUUCUCUCUCGAUAAAUACUAGGGAAUUCAGAAUCGGCAGCUCUGCUUCUACUCCUCCCUCCAAACCCAAUUUCACUUGCUUUAGAGUCAGAGCUAUCAAAGAAAAAACUGAGGAAAUCAGAACCCCCUCUCCUUCUCCAUCUUCUUCACCUUCAGCACAGGAAAUUACGGAGAAAUUUGGACUUGAAGCUGGUCUCUGGAAGGUGCCCAUCUAACUCCUCUUUCUUCUCCUCGUUUUCUUUUGAUUUUGGUUGGUUGUAAUGCUGCAAUUUUAUUGAUUUAUUGAAUUAUUUCAUACUGCUACCGCCUUCUACAGUGAAGCUCUGUUUUCUCCUUUUUCACUUGGAUGAGUUUCAAGGUUUUAUAUAUUCAAUUACCCUCCUUUUGGUUGGCGAGAAAACUGAGGAAAACAUAGAAGAAAGCACGAUUCUGAAUCCUGAGUUCCACAUUCUUUAGGUUUCCGACGAAUGAAAUACUUGAAUAGAGAGUUGAAUGGGGGAUAUUGCUGUCUUGGGUGCCGAAUAAAUAUUCAAAAAAAAAAAAUUAUUUGAUUUUUAUUCUGUAUUUCUAUGCAAUCAAUCUGGGGUAUCGGAAAACUCCCUUUAGUGUGGUGAUUCAGUGGUUGCAGAACAAGAAAUUAGUGCUAUGUUAAUAACAAAGUGCAGUCCCAGAAAAUGAUAGGCAGUGACUUCAUUCUAUUAUUUUUAGAUUGCUACUUCCUUUUUUUUCUCUCUUUUUGAGGCAUAAUCUUUGAAUUUUUAUAUUUGUCUUUCCUACCUUUUUCUAAGCAGCCAGUCGACUAGCCAUGGAUUUUAAAAUAUAUUCAGCAUUUCCCUCACCAAGGAAAAAUUUAUGCUUUGCAUCUGUUUUUAUUUAUUUAUUUUUUUUUCCUCUAUUGAAUACCAUUCAAUAGAAUCAGUAGAAUAUUAAUGGUAACUCUUCAAAAAAAUUUAAAUUAAAACAGUGUAGUAAAAUUAAGAAAAAAUUUGCAUCUUUAGAUGAAAAGGAAUUUAUGUGUAAUAAUCUUGUGGACCAUAAAUCUAAUUCCUGUAUUCCUACUUGGUGUUGAAUUUAUUGAAUGAGUGUAGAUAUUCAGCUCAAAAGAUGAAGAAAAGGAAGGAGGCAAAAGAGAGAAAUCAAAAGGAGAAGAAGCUAAGGAGCUGCUAGCAAAAUAUGGGGGAGCAUACCUGGCCACCUCCAUUACUCUCUCCUUGAUCUCCUUCUCCCUCUGUUAUGCACUAAUCAAUGCAGGAGUGGAUGUCCAAGCUCUGUUGCAAAAGGUACUUGAAUUGCAAACUUUAAGCUUCCUCCAUACAAAAAUAAUAGGUUUGGGAGCAAUGGUCUUGAUUGCUGAGUUGCAGGUGGGAAUAUCUGUGGAUGCGACUGGGGAGAAAGUAGGGACGUUUGCAUUGGCAUAUGCUGCACAUAAGGCUGCAUCUCCUAUAAGGUUCCCACCCACCGUAGCUCUCACUCCCAUCGUGGCCAGCUGGAUUGGGAAGAUAGUUGACAAGGAGAAUUAACUUGUAUGCGUAUGACUACCUCCUCCUACCUCCUACCUCCUAAUGUAAUAUGCUCUCUGUUUUUCCUUUUUAAUAUGAAAUCAUUCUUUUCAUAGUAAUGUCGAUGCUUCUGCCCGCCUGAACGAGAGUACAACUUUGCAUUCACAAUAAUCUGAAUCCUUCAAAAUUUUAUGUCAAGGCCAUCAAUUUUUUUAUUGUUUUAGGCAUGCAACCAAGCUGCUACAUGUUGGAAGUUCUGCAUGGCAGGAUUAUUGGUACCUUUUUUUUUGUCAACCCAUUUCUUGUUAAGCUCACUGUGGUCUCUAAGUAGCUCUGCUAGCAUUGAAGCUAAGGAAUAAGAGAAAAUUACUUCUGGUUCAAACCUAAUUCAUAGAAAAUGAAACAGGUAAAUUUGAAUUCAAGUUUUUCCUGGACAUGGACAAUGUAAUAUAAGAAGAGCACUCAUGUCUCAGUUUAUGAGGAAGCAUGAACCACUUAAAAAGGUGUUUAAAGGCACUAGACAUUCUGAUAAUCCAUGGUGAAAUGUCCCAGGAUCACACUUAACUUAAACAGCAAAACUAUAAGCCAUUGACAAGCACAGCAUUUACUUAGGAUACUUCAUUUUUAAAAAGUAGCAGGUUAACCUGAUUUGAGCAAAACAGCAUCCACAUCAAGUACCAUCAAAGAGUACCAAGUACUCAAGCAGCAUUGUGCUGCCCAAAGGGAAACGGAAAAUCGCAUUUCACAGUUCUGCCAUCACAUAAGAUGCUCAUGUAAUUUGAUUCAUUACUUACCUAAAACCGACAUAACCAAAUUUCAAGUCAAUCGUACAAAAGGGGGGGGAGAGGAGGAGAAAGCAAGCCAUAGAACAAUAUACAGAGGCAAAAUUGUAAUAGAGCAAAUAAUAUUUCUAUUCAUUACUAAAUCAGACUGAUCAUGUAUAGUAUUAGCCUACUGUACAGUGAACCAGCUUCCCCCAUCUACACAUUCUCUAAACUUCCUGAGAUGCCUUCUUGUGGAGCAAUGAGGAGGCAACCUCCAAAUUUUUCACCACCUCUACAAUUGAAUCAGGAAAAUGGAAGAUGGAUGGAAUUAAUUGGUUCCCCAAGUAUCCAUGAUUUGUUUUGCUUGCCAAUCUAAUUCACCUCCCUGGAGUAUUGGCAGCAGGAGGCACUUCCGCAGCACUAGAUGGUGGAGUUUGAGGCUGUGGUGUGCUGACAUUAGCCAUUGCAUAGUCAUCAUUAAGAGCAUCUAACUCAUUCCAUUCAACUCCAGCUGUGGUUGAGAGUCAAGGAACUUUGUACUUGCACGUAAAUAAAGAUGAGGAAAGUAGAUAAAAAGAAAAUACGCAAUAUAUUAUUGAGAGGAUACGCUCUGUCCUCCACAUGUCUGUGAUGCUCACAUCGGCAUCUGACAAAAGCCAGUAAUCUGCAUCACUCUGUCAAGGAAACAGGAAAUAUUUAGAACACCUGGGUGCUUACAUGAUUUAACUGCACAUGCAACACAUUCAUGGUUAAAAACAUCACUCUUCCCUUUUCACUGAAGUGAAAAGAAAGCAAAGUUACAGAUUUUUUUCCAUUUGAAAGAACCCUCAUUCCGACAAGAACUCUGAUUUAUAAUUGCUGAAUGAUGCAUAAAAAGGUUUAUACUUGUAUAAAAAACAAUGGACAAAGAAAAAAUUAUCAAUCUCCAUCGAUCCAACUGCAACGGUUUUCUUUCCUUCCAAUUCUGUAAAAUAGAGCAUGUUACCUGCACUUCUAAUCCCUUUUCAGCAGACUCUAUCAUCACAAAGCUUUUAAAACCAUGCUAACCAUAACAAUUCAAGUUUUAAGACUUACAUCAACAUCUGAUGGAACGAUCUUCAUUAUCCCACUCACAAAAUCUUGUGACGCAUUAAGAUCAGAGGACAUUCUAUGAGCAUCUUGUCCCUGUAUUUCAAUCUCCUUCCCUCUGCUCUCUUCUGUUACCAUUGCUGCUGUUGGGUCCUCAUUAUAUCCUGAACUUGAUGGAAAACUUGGAGGUGCCUCAAGACCAUUAAUCUCCUCAAACUUCUCUUCAAAUUGACUAAACCAAUAUCAAGAAAAAUUAAGAGAAUGAAAAGACAAGGCAUCAGAACAGAAUAGCCUGUCUCAAAUAGUUUAUCAUCCUUACUUCCAAAUAAGAAUAAUGGUUAUCCCGUGCCUGCAAAUAGAAAACAGGUGUUGUAACCAAAAGGCAACAAUACCUGACAAGGUAAACAUCUAUAGGGCCCAUUGAGCUUCUAAGAACUAUUCUGUAUCUCCUCUGAGGAUAAUCAACAGCCUACACGCAAAGGACAAAAUUUCUUAGGGAAUAUGGAAUGUUAAGACACAAAAGAUGAACUUUUCCUUGAUCUUCUCUGCACUUGAUUUACCUCAUCAGGAUCUGGGACUUCUAGUGUGGUGCCAUGUGGGGCUUUAAUUGCUAUCAAGGUUUCUUUCUGGUGGGAACAAUACAAACAGACUCCCGUUAACAAUCAGCCAAACAGAAACGAGCAAAUUCUUGGGAUUUGAAAACAUUCUAAUCUCAAUUACUGUAAACCACCAAAUCAAAGCAAAGAAGAAACAAACCUGGAAGCAGGGUAACCCCUUGAUGUCUUCUUCAGUGACAAAAAGCCACCUAAGAUAAGUAAGAGUGUAGAAAUAGUUAUCGUCUUGAUCAAACUAACACACCACUAGUUAAAUAACCGAAUUUUGAUGGGAGCAAGGGGAGAAAUUUUACUUUUGAUUGUUUUCAUCUUCACUCAGGUCCCUCAAUCUUUCUUGCAUAUCUCUGCAACAGACUAAAAGCAUCAGCAUAACCCAGAGCUUGCAAGACAUCAUAGAACUGUACUAGCAUAGGAAUGUUCACAUUACCUUAUUUGUGCAUCUAAUCUGCGCUCCUGAAUAGAAAGGUUUUCAACUUCUUCCUGCAGAGGAAAAACUAUUCAUAAGACCACAUCCUGCAAGUUUAGGAAAGAUGCAAACAAUUUUUCUUUCCAAAUUCUCCAGUUCUCUCCAGUGGUGACAAAUAUCACAGAUGGUCCACCAUUCCCUGAAUGUUGCAUAUACCCAUGCAAUUCAAUGAACUCAAUUCCACAGCUUUUUUCUAGAUAUUGCAGUCAGCUAGCCAAAACCUACUUUGGCUUUCUGCUCACUUCAGAUAGAUUUAAUAUUUGUUUGACUAAACCUUGGUUGCUGUCUAAUUACCAGUUACCACAAUUGUUCUUCAUUUAGGGCCCAGACCAUCAAAACCAUAGGAUUGGCAGAGGCAAUGUAAACAAAAAAUAAAACAAAAAGAAUAAAACUCUCUCAAAGAGUUGAAGAGGGGGUGUUUAAUAAAACUGAAAAUUGAAUACUGAACUGCAAGUAUUAUUGAAUGUACAAAAAUAAAAAGCCACUGGUAGCAUCUGAAAUUUAAGUAAUGAAUUCAGAUUCAGUUAUACUGUUUGAUAAACAAAAAAUUAAAAGAAUUAAAAGAAAAGAAAAGUUUGUUUUACAGAUUAAUCCACAAACAAUUACUAGAUUUUUCUAUGAAGAACCAUAUGUUAAGCUAUGUCACAUGUACUACUAUGUUUUUUUGGUGAUGAUUGAAGAAUACAGUAAAAAAAUUCAACUGUUUUUAUAUAAUUCAUAAUUUAAAAAAUGAAAUAUGUAGAUGAUUUAAUGUAAAGAAUCUAAUAAACUUAUAUGCAUGAUCAUUUUUUUUCCUAUUUAAUCAAAAUGACAAAGUGGAAGAGAGUUUACAACUUUGAUAAAUUCCUCACCCUUAGAAUUCGUUAUAAAAGAAUUGAAAAUUAAAAGGAAUUUGGUUAUAAACAAUGAUUAAAAGUGAUAAUCAAAAGUUACAAAACUUUAAAAACCUGAGAGCAAAUGUUUCUCUUAAGUAUUUAAUGACCAUGGUUGUAGAAAUUUAAGUGAUUUUCAAGUAGAGUCUGUUUUUUAACUGGCAUCUCAUUUAUACUAUUUGCACAGUAAAACACACUUAAACAGUAGGACUACUUGAUAUGUUUAGUUGAAGUACCAAUUACGGUGAUCAAACACACCCAUGAAGAUCAAGACAGUGUGCAUGCCAAGAAACAAUUUACCUACUUCUGCAUACCUGUAAACUAGUAACAUUUUCAUCAACCUCUCCUGGCCUCGAGACAUCAAGUCCCCUACAAAAAUCAAUUAACUUUUGAGUAAUUCUUCACGUGUUGAGGUAAUUAUUAACAUUUCAAAACAACUUUAAAUAAAAAGUAAAUGACAGAAUAUUUUCAUACUUCCACUGAAUUCUAUUCUUCAACUUCUUCUCAAUGAGACCAAUUCCUUCAAGGACAUUUGUUAUGUCAUAUAUACGCCUCUUCUGUACCUGUGAUAAUGGAAACGUUUCAAUUGACAGGAUGUUAUGCCACAGGAUAUAUUGCGUUAGAUAUAAAAUAGCACCUCUAAAGUGUCGGCAGCUUUAUUUAGAUCAAGAAUACCAUCUUCUGCAUGUUUAAUCAAAUUAAUGAACUUCUUUGUCAAGAGACCUGAAUGAGAAUCAUAGGACAUUGUUGUCACUUUUAUGGCAUCCACUUUGGCUGUCCCACAAACUAUUAAAUGAAAACAUCUAUAGAAAAAAUAAAACAAACUCCACCUUUUUUCAAACUCAAAAAUAAUAAUAAUAAUAACAACAACAACAAUAAAAGACUAAAAGGAGAGAGAGAGAGAGAGAGAGGAAAAAAAAUCUCACACACAUAUACAAAGAGAUAAGCAAUCAUUUACUUACCUAGUGAGCUAUCAUAACGACAGGGACCUACUGGAGUAAGAUUAUUUCCAGGAGAACCUGCAAAUUGAGAGAAAGCAUCUCAGUAAAUUUGGCUUCUCUUCUCAGUCUACCAUGGCUCACUAUUGGAUCAUAAGCAAAAGAGAACUGUUCAUGCUGAUAAGAGAAUCUCUAUUCAUGUUCAUGCUGAUAAUAAAAUCCUAGUAGAACCAAGGGAUUUGUUGAUUCUGAUGGUUAAUUUUUCAUUGGAUAUGCUGCAGAAUUAAAAAUUUGGGAGCCAAAUAUACACAUCUUUGACAGAAACUGCUCACCAGCAUUAGAUACUGGAGUUUGAGGUCCAGACCUGCUGCACUUGGUAAUCCUUGAUGUUUUCUGUGCCUUUCCUCCUUUUCCUGAUACAGGUGUCUGGACAGGACUGUUGACUACUUCAGUAAAACCAGGAACAGCAGUCCACUCGCUAGACUCAGCUUCAUAAUCGGGUUCACUUUUCCGCUUUAAUUGCUAAAGAAUACCAUAUAGUUUUUGUAAAUUGCAAUGAGCAACAUGUGCAAUAAAAUUUAAUCAUAUAAUUAACUGAAAAAUAUAUUGAACUUAUUCCAAGAAAAAAAAAAUGCAUUAACAAUGGGAAAACCAGCCUAAUAUUAAAUGAGGCAAAAUAUUGAAGAUGUUACACCAAGCAAAAGCAAAGAAGAGUAAAAGUUUUCCCAGCCUGCCAAAAAGAAUUCCUUGAAGAUAAAACUUCACUAAUAGUUACAAUGACCCAGUUUGUCAACAAAAAUAUCAUUUAGGUUGUAAACCUCUUAAUGAAAGCAAUAAGAUUAUAAUAUUUUUUUAAUGGAGAAAUUGUGGACAUGCUUGUAACUCUUUCAUAGCAGAUAAUAAUAAAUUAAUUUAGUAAAAACACCCCAUAUGAAUGACCCCAUUGAACCACCAAAAACUACAGAUGCAAGCAGAUGCCAGCCUGUAUGAAUAAUACUGCCACUGGAAUGGACAUAAUAACUGCAGACAGAUUCAAGCAGCUCUUUGCUUGCUUACAUUCCACCAAUAUAUGCAAAACUAGUAACAGGAGAAGCUAGUUGUGGACAUUUACCAACAUCUAAAACUCUUCAAGAAAAGCCCAUUUGAUUGAUGACCAUCCUAUAAACAGGGACUGAGAUUUCCUUAUUAUUUUACACCCCUUGUAAUUACAAGGAAAAGAAAUUUGGGAUAGGCAAGAUUCAUCAAUUAAUUUACAUUUCAAUUCCUAUCUCAUUUACAUCUAUUUCAAAAAAAAAGGCCAAUAAUCUUAGCAAUUCACAAAGCAGCUGGAGAAUAUUCCUUUGCUUUAUAUGGCAAUCAGUAUAACAAACAUUGAGGUCUGAGGUAGCAGGGUACAUUAUGUAAGCCACUGAUAUGAGUCAAUGGGCCAAGGACUGGGAUGUCAGCUAGUAAGACCAGUUUGAGCUGUUUUGGCUGAAUGACCUCUUCUUCAGACUACCUCAUGGCAUAGUGUCACAUGCUUCCCAAUAAAGAGGAGUUUAUGAAUAAAUAGGCUUUCAACAGUUUGCUUAUGCAUCAUAAAAAGAUGCAUUUGGUAUAGUUAUACUGAAAACUGCAGACCAUUGCACUUUUCAAGCAACAGACAGAAGGUGUAGAAGGACAAAACCACUUGAAUGAUGACUUGUAACUUCUUAGUGUAGAAAUAAUCCAAGGUAUAACUACCCUUUUCUGCAGACUACCAGAACUAUGCUGAUUUUCCUGUUUCUGUAUGUAAUCUUUUUAUUAUUAACAUGUACAGUUCUUUGCCCAUAACUAUAAAAGCCUGCAGGAUAUAAACUACCAUCAACUUCAAAAGAGGAAAUGCAAUUUUGCAAGAAGCUAGGAAGCAAAUCAACCAUUCUAGAGUGAGGCACUUGUCCAUGAUCUCCACAAAAAACUGCCUUAGUAAUCUUUUUUCUUCUUUUUCCCUUUCUACCUAGUUGGAACAAGAACACGAAGUAAACUUAUUGGCAAAUAUAGAACCUCAUACAAAGUGAUCUACUAAACAAUUCUCUUCUUUUAUAGGCAGGCUGGCAGAUUUUUGGGGUUGUAAUCCAGAAGUAAAAAAAGAUAAGCAGAGGUUAAAAGUGAAGGCCUAUGAGAAGAUAGCAUAUCAAGGUAAAGGAAAAUUAGUUCAUAAAUAUGACUGCACCUUACAUGUAAACUUAACUAGAGUUCACCUUUCUGAUCAAUAUUGAAGAAAAUGGUCUAUUUUACGCAUAAAAUUUGCAUGGCUGUUAAGGGAACCAUUUUUGAAGGAGAAACAACACUAAGCAUUUUGUCAAAUUUAGGAAUCAUUUUCCUUUAGGGAAAGUCAACUACUUCACAAAUGGGGUCGAGCUUAGAAGCCAGAAUGAACUCAAGACACAAGAUUUAUUGGCCUUUCCUUGAGCCAUAAUUAUGGGAAUGAACCACUUGUGUUUCAUUCACAAAAAGGAAGCAAAUGCUAUUUUGCCCUUUCGCAGAUUUGGGUUCUUAAGUCAAAGUUAGCAAUAGUUGGUUGUUUAAGUCAUAUUUACAAAUUUAGAAUUUAGAAAGUCUUCUUCACUAGUAAUUUUUCACAAAGAAAAUUCUGAGCUUUUAAGCUUUCUAUUUCAAGAAGUUAUAUUUUGAAUUUAAAACUUUACUGGAACUUUCUAAUUAUGAGAAUUCCAGUAUUUUUAAAAUUUCUGCUUGCAAAGAAAUGACAAUUUAUACUUUAAUGCCAUUAUUUGGUGGAUUUUUAGUUCUAGGAAAAAAAUUAAAGUCAUAACAGAUACUAUAUAGGUUGGGUUUCUUUUCUUUUUAAUGAUUUUAUUAAGUUCUUUUAAAGCUUUCUAAAGUAAAUAAAUAAGGCUAAGUGUUACAGAAUGGAAUAUAAUAAAUUACAAAUAUUUUUUGCAUAAUUUUCAAAUAUUAGUGAUGAGUCUCCAUUAUUAUUAUAAUUAUUUAGGUGAGACUCCUAUAAGGUUUUAAUAAGACUCCAAGAUUCACCUUUAUCUUUUUUCUCUUUGAUAGUGAGAUUCAGCUAUUUUCUUGUAAGAUGCUAAGAUUUAUCUCUCCUUUUCUCUUCAAUUGUGAGUAUUGAUUAUUUUCUAUUCUAACUGAGACUCUCCUAGAAGGCCUUAGUAAGACUAAAGUUUGUCUCUUCCCUAUUUAUAAUAUUUUCUGUGUGCUUAUCAAAAAACGACAGUUUUCUCUCCCUUUCUUCUCUUUUGCCUUUUGAAGUUAUGGCUUUAUUCAAAUGUGCCAUAAACCCCAAUUCAUCAUUCCCUCCUUAAAAGUUUAAAUAGGUAAAAGCCCCAACCCAUCUUUAUUUGCUUCUUGUAACCGCCUUAAGGUUAGCCUAUUUCACAUGGUAACAUAAUCGAUGCAUGGGAUAUGGUCAUUCACCUCACCAUAUUAGUUGAAGAAUGGGAAAUCCAGAACCUGUAACUUUGGUUCACCAUGACUUAGGUUUGGAUUAUUGCUUCAGAACCGAUUUGACUUAUAUCACACAGCUCUUAAAGGAAAUAAGAAAGGAAAUUAAGAAGUUCACUACCACCAUCUUCUUUGCUUCCUUUCCAUUUGUUUUGAUUUGAGUCCUUUGACCUCUGAAAUGAGUUCAGUUGUAAAGAUUUAACUGUUUUUAAUUAUGCUGUACACCACUGCAACUACAGAACGAAGAAGAUUUGUCAUGGACGCUCUAUAUCCUUCUAUGUCAGACGAGUUUCAAAUUCCAUCUCCAUUUUCUUAUCUGUGUAGUGCAGGCUUACCUGCAGCAACUCAAAAUAACUAAAAAUACAAAGGGAAAUCAGUCUUGAGGGGCUCCAUUCUAAACCAGUCUAAACCUGAUAGUUUCACCAUUUACCCAGUUUGAACAUUAGGCUGGUUUUAAAAGUCCUUUUGUUACAAGCAUAGACCUUUCAAAAGGCUUAUCUAAGGGGGAAUAGAGACCCCAUUACCAUUCAAACCAAUGUAAGAGCCAUACACAGCACAAAUCACUCUGAACCAAAAACUAUCAUGCUCUAAGAGAACUUCCAAUUAUUUUAAUAUAAGAGUUCUUUAUUACCAACAAGUACAAACUACCUCUUCUCCCAAAAGCCAAGCAAAAAGGUAGGAACUAGAUGAUAAUCCCAGUGUAAGUCCACUGUCAUUGAACUCACAGCUCUCUCGCUAAGCUUUUCCCAUGUACAACUUCCUCAAGGAUAUCAUUGGUCAAUUCAGCAUGUCUAUUUGAAACUCCUUUCCUUUCCAUAACUCAUUUAGAUACCUUACAAGGGAAUAUGAUUUCUCUAAGUUGAUAAAAACCUAGUCGAGUCUGGCCUCUAGACUACAAACUUCUCCAUCUAUUAAAUAUUGGAAAAGUUAGCUCUAAUUAUUGAUUCACAGGAGCUAUGUGCUCCCUCUAGGAAUGUGCAUUUUGAGCUUAUGUUACUACUUUUUUGUGCAGCACUCUAAUAUCAACAAAAUGUCAAUAUAAGCAAUAAACAUGGAUGCAUUCUUUAAGAUUUAAAAUGAAAUGUGUUGAAUAACCAGAUGGCAGGAGAGAAAGGGCAACAAAUCACAAAUGAUUCACUGGCUUGAUGUCCACCUUGCGAAGCACAAAUUGGAAAGGCAUCAAGAACCUUAAAACCAGAUAAUUUAUGGCUAAAAAUAUGAAAAAUAAAUUUUAAAACAAUCUUUGUUCGGAAGAAAACCCCCAUCUUUGCCCAAUGGAAAGGUGACAAGUAAUUUGACAGAUUAGAUGGUCAAACUCAAGUAAAACACCCCAGGCUUUCUAAAGAAUCAAACACAAAGACAAGGGAACAAAACUUUUUGAUUGGAUAAACAAUGAGAACCUUGCAUCUCUCUUUGCAUUGUUCCAGAAAGUUCAUCAAGCUACCAAAAAGAGCAUCCGACACCAAACAUCAUCCUAAAACAUAGCCCUCCACAGGAGACCCACCACAAUUUUCUGGUAAGCUUGAUGAACAAGGGUCUAAAAUUCUAAAAUAAAACCUACACCUGAGAACAUCAUCACCAUCCAGGACUCUAAUUCACUCAUAAUAUAAUCCCACUUCAUUGCAAUGGCCCAACAACCAUUUAUCAAAACGCCCCAAAUCUUUAAACUAAUAGAUCACCUAAUCAUCCAACUACAAUUAUCUUUCAAUGCACCAAAUGGUACUUAAACCCCUUAUGCCUCAGCUAUUGACGAAAAAAACUAAAACUUCACAUUUACACCCAUAGAACCUUCUCAACCUGUCAUACCAUAAAGCAAAGAACUAGAAAGAAAGCAAGAACCAGAAAGAAGGAUGGGAGAAGACACAUAAACUUGAAGAAGAGCUUAUAAUAGAUCUCACCCCGUGUAGAGUUUUAUGCAAAACGACAACCCCAAUACUGCUACUAACAACUUUCUGAACUACAAUUAACUUGUUCCUUUCCCAGCUUGCAAUCCAAUAUAUAAAAACGCCAAAAUCCUUCAACCACAGGUCCAAUUCUACUCAAUUGAUCACAAUUCAGCGCCCUAAGUUCCAGAACAAAGCACAAACAACCAAACUCACAUACAAACCGCAAGGAACACACAAUUCCCACAGUCAACAGCCAACCAAUUUCCAAUUCCAAACACCGAGGCAAACAGAUCCCCAGAGCAAACUCACCGGAGAUUUUACCACCACGGCCUCGUCGGCCUCGUGAUCGGGGACGCGGCCGGAGGAGGAGAAGCGGUGGUAGUCCCCGGGCGAGGGGACGAAGGGCGGGCGGGCGGGCGGAAAGGGGAGGUGGCGCUUGGGAGGGUGCAUGAUCUGGUGAGGCGGCUGAGAAGAAGGGUUCAUGGGGGAAGAAGAUGGAGAAGAGGAGGGGAUCGGGGUUAGGGUUAGGCGAAUUGUAGGAAAAGCAGAGGAGGAAGCGGAUGGGAAUUGGAGGGAGAUCUGAAAGAGAUUAAAAAAGGUAGGAAGAAAGGGAAGAAGAAGAAGAAAACGAGGGAAGGGAGGGAGGAGGGAAUUUUGGUUCGGAUAUAGAUGUGGAGGGAAGUUCUAUUAUUAUAAAAACCCACCCCUCUCAAUUAUUUUUCUUUUUUUCUUAUUAAUUCCUACUUAAUUUAGAAAAUGCAUAAAUAAGUACCACUGCUCUGAUUUAUUUUGAAAAAUAAAUCAUAAAAUUUUUAAUUUGUAUAUACUUAAUAAUGCUGUCAUAUAAAUCAAAUAACAUUCCGUGGCAUCAUAUGAUCUUAAUUAACGGUAACAUUAUUGGAUAGAGUUUGUUGGGAGGCUGUGAAAUAGUGCGAGAUUAGAAGUUGAUUGUUGUAAGGGUUGUUGACAAAGAUAAAUAAAUAAAUAAAAUAUUGUAUUUUAGAAAAUAUGAAAAGGUCGGUUCGAAUCGGCGAUGCGCGCCUUUUGUUGGGGGAACUGGGAAUCAAGUCAGCGAUUAUUUGGCGCGUAUUUCUCCACUCACUUUGCCCACUCCUCACCAACCAAACCCUACCCAAUACUCCCGUGGACCGGCCUCUGCCUACUUCAAUCUCAGGUUCAAAUAUCAUUAAACUGCUCCAUUUCUCUUGGGCCAGGCCUGUAUGAAAAAACUAAAAUAAAAAAACCCUUUAAGUUAUGUUUAUGUUUGGUUGAAAUAAUAAACUGGAAUUUAAAAUAACAUAUAAAAAUAGUUUAUUCAAUUUUUUACUUUUUUUUUUGGGAAAAGUAGGUCUUGACUCAUUAAUACGAAAAUAUAUGGAAAAAAUGAACGUCAAAUUUUUUAAAUCAAUAUUAUCUUUAUUUAUUUAAAAAUAAUUUGAAAUAUAUACACUUUUAAUAAGUCAUUUAAUUAUUUCUUAAAAUGUCCUUUUUACUUAUCAUAUUAUUAACAUCAACGUAAAUGUUUAUCUUCUUUUUAGAUUUAUUAUUAUUAUUAUUAUUAUUAUUAUUUAGGUUGUUUUCCCUUUAGAAAUAAACACAUCUUAGGAAAAGUUGCGACUUAUUUUUUUCUCCAUGACCAAACAUCUUAGAGUAAAAGUGAGGAAGUUUGAAGGGUGUGGUCAUUAUAAGUAGUGAAAAAAAAAUCUCAAAUAAUAAUAAUAAUAAAUUUAAAAGAAAUGAAAACAUUUACAUGGAAGAGCAUAUCAAUGGGUGUUAAUGGCAUGACAAGUAAAAGGGGUAUUUUAUGAAAUAAUUAGAUGAAUUAUUAAAAAGUGUAUGUAUUUCAAAUUAUUUUUAAAUAAAUGAAGAUAAUACUAAUUUAAAAAAUUUGAAGUUCCUUUUUCUAUAUAUUUUCAUACUAAUGAACUCGCUUUUCUGUUUUCUUUUUCGACCUUUCAUCUUUAUUUCUUUACCUCGGAUUUUGCGAAAACCAAUUAUAGCUUUGAAUUUACCGAUAGAAAUUAGGUCCAUUGAUAGGAGAUGACUUAUGGUUAUAGGUAGGCAAAGUUUGUCAAUAUGACUUGAAUACAAUAUAAUUUUCACAAGUUUAAAAUGAGUAUAAUCAUGUUUGAGUCAAAUUCAUGGUUGAGUAUCAAACUCAUUCAAUAAAUAGGUUUUUUUUUUUUUGCCAACCUAUAUAAUGCGAAUUUAACAAAAAUUGACCUAUUUGAUAAUUAUAUUAAUUAACCUAAUGAUAAUUUUAACCUAUUUAACACAUAUUUGACUCAUUUUAAAUUUACUUUUGAAUAAAUGAGUUAAUUGAAUUAUAAAUAUGUCAAAUUAGAAGAUUAAUUAUAUAAACUUAUAUAUGUCUUAACUAAACUUUAUAAUUAAACAAAAUGACUUGAUUAUUAAACGAAUUACAUGAUUUAUUACCCAUUUAAUAAUGAGAUUGUAUUUUGGUUUACAUUUUUAAUCUAAUUAUUAUUCAUAUCAUGUUUAGGUAAAACUAUUUGGUUGAAUAUCUAAAAUUAGAUACGAUACAAACACGACCCACAUAAGAAUUGCCACCUCUAAUUAUGAGCACAAAGAGAUUCAUCUCAAGGCCCGAGGGAGAGUAAAAUAAGAAUGAACAAUUUGUGGCAAUAGUUCGGACAAAAUCAAGUUUGUAUUAUUGUUAAGAACUAUUGAAUAUUCACCUACCUUCAAUAUAAUCUAGUUAUAUGUCAUACUCGAUAUAGAUACAAUAUAUUUAUUAUUUAAUAUUAUAACAAUCAAAUCUCUUUUAUAUAAUUCGCUAUGCACUCAUAAGGUUUUCACAACUUUAAAAUAUGAUUAUAUGGUUAAAAGAAAUUCAUACCUGUUAUGAGCUUUUUUCAUUUAUUUGAGUGAGAUAUCACAAUUAUUUAAAUGCAAAUAUAAUGUUCUUGUCAUGUCUAACAUGAUUAUAGGGCCAAAUGAACAAAUACUUUUUGUUGAGCUAAGCAUACAAAAACUUAUAUUAAAGUUAAGGAUCAACAUUGAUACCAUUUGUAAGGACUCGUUUUUUUUAUAUUGAGUUAAACAAACAAAAACCCACAUUAAAGUUAAGGAUCAACUUUGAUACCAUUUAUAAUAAUUUAUUUCAUCUCUUAAUGUUGAAAAAUCAUUAACUAGUAUUUGAGAAUUCAUUCAUUUUCAUCUAAAAAUCACCAUUAUUUUUUAUUUUAAAAAUUGAAAAGAAAAAAAAGAAGAAGAAGAAAAGGAAAAAAAUAUGUCCAAACAACACUUUAGGCUUGUUUCCGUAAACUUUCUAUUUUUUGUUUUUAAAAAUGUAGAAAUUCUUAUAUAUAAAAGUGUAGAUUUAGUCCUUAAAAAUUACUUUAAAAAUAUUAAAAUUAAAAUUAAUAAAAUAAUUUUAAUAUCUCCAUUUUUAAAUUAAUUUUUGAAAAAUCAUUAUAUUUCAUUGUAAGUCUUUAAGGGGGUGUUUGGUACUUCAAAAUAGGGAAUGGAAAUAAAUAUUUUGUUUCUAUUCUUAUUUCUUAGUGAAUAGAAAUGAAUUUGAUGAUUCCAUUUUUAGUAUUUGGAUGAACUUAGGAAUACAAGAUUGGAAUGAUUAUUUGUUUUCAUUCCAAUGUUUGAUAAUAAUAGGAAUGGAAAUGAAAAAGAAAUAAAUUUACAAUAAUAUCCUUCCAUAUAAUUUAAAAUAAUUUUUUAUUUUUAUUUUUAUUUUUUAAAAAUAAAAUUUGAGGGUUUUUUUGUUAUUAAAUAAUAAGACUAAAAAAAUAUAUAUACUCAAUAAAUAAAAAAUUAACCAUAAAAAAUCAUAUAACCCUAAUGUACAAAUAUUCAAUUAUUAUUUUUAUUAAAAAUUUAAAUAAUUUGUUAUGCUUAAGAGUUAUAAAAUUAUGUUUUACCAAUAUAUAUAUAUAUAUAUAUAUAUAUAUAUAUAUAUUUAUUAGAAUAUUUAAAUUCUCAAAGCUAGCAAAUGUUUUUCCUAUUUUCAAAAGAGGAAAUAAAAGAAUUCAAAUUUCAUUCUAAUUUUCAACAAGUAUCAUAUCCGAUAAAAUCCAUAACCUUAAAAAAUUUUAAAUAUUCGUUUUUUUUUAAUAAAAAAAAUAAUAGUCUUGAAAUCUUUUUUCUAAAUGUCGUGGAAUGUUCAAUUGAUUCAGUUUGGGAGAAUCACUUGUUGCAUAGAAGUAGAUGAUGAAUGGGGUCUCUAACUUUGCAAAAAAUAUAAGCAUCAAACUUGAAGAAUGAGAUAAGAGUGUAAAAUAAUAAAUUUAGAUUAUUUUAUAUUAUCAAAUAGGUUUAAUGAAUUAGAAUACCACCUAUUUUUAAUGAAUUCGAAUUAUAAGUUGGAUUUAGUUUCUGCCUAAAUAAUUUUUUAUUUCAUUUCCAUCUUCUUAACAUUUAUCCAAACAUAGGAAUAAAGGAGAAAAUGAAUGAGAUGUCUAUUCUCACUCCCCAUUCCCGUGUACCAAACACCCCCUAAAAGUUUAUGUAUUUAAUAUGGAAAUUAUUGUUAUUUUCUAUUUUUUAAAAACACAAAAAUAGGAAAAGUAUCCAAACCCAUCUACCUCUGAUUUGAAUAUAUUUAUUAUUUAUUAUUUUUAAAAGUAAAAAUAGUAAUAAUUUUAGCAUAAAAUGCCACAAUCUUAAAAGUGAUUUUAAGAGAUUACGGCAAGUUGAUAUAUUUUUUUAAUAUAAGCAAGUGUAUCCAAAUAAGCUGCUAAAUAUUUAAUUUUUAAUUAUAAUUUAUUGAUAUUUAUUUGUAUUUAUAAUAUAUUUUUAACAUUCAUUGUUUUUUAAAAUUUAUAAAAUUUUAUUUUAAUUAUUUUAAUUGUCUAUGAUUUUUAUAAGUUAAAAGAAAGUAUUGUCCAUUUUUGUAAUUUAAUAUGCAAAGUUCUCACAUUAAAUAGAUUGCAAAAAAGUUAGUUGAUGAUGGAGUGAGUUAGAUCCCCUGAAAUGAGUUAAACAGGCUAAACAAAUACAACAUGCUUAUUAAAAUCUGUUAAUCAGUGUAACUUUUUCAAGUUGCUUGGACGAAUCUUGUGACGUUUCUCAACCCUAAAGCAACGAAGAAGCACCAAAGACAAAAACCCUAUAAGAUGGGUUGAAGAGCUUUGGGGAGGGAUUUCCAAAAAAAAUAUCAUUCGAAUCGGAGAAGUGAAUCAAUGUUUUCAUCCUCGACUUUGUUGUUGAUGGAAGUACUGGUCUAAGUCAGGUCCUAUAGUUUUCUGCUUUCUAUCUCCUUCAUCGCCUCUUCAUCAUCUUUCUUUUUCGAGUGCUUGGAGUUCCGAGCCUUCUUUCAUACUCCUUCCUUCGCAUUUUUUAUUAUUAUUAUUUUUAAGAUGAGUGGAGUCUGAGUAAGAAGGAAAAUAUCGAGAUAUAUAGUCGAUAUAUCGUGUAUCGGGAGGGGUCGACAUGAUAUUUCGUGAAGAAAAAUCGGAGAGGAGAUAUUUCUGUAAAUAUCGCCAAAAUAUCGGCAAUAUAUCGGCUCAGGGAGAUAUAUUAGAGAUUUUUUUAAAAAAUCGCCUCUGUGGCAAAAUAUCGGUAAUAUAUCGGAGAUAUAUCGCUGAUUUUUUGGCGAUAUUUCCUCUCCUUCAUGUAAUGUGAUCUGACGGCCCAGAUCACGCUCGUGUUGAUCCGAUGGCCUAGAUGUGAUUCCAAUUGUAAUAUGGUGAUCCAACGGCCAGAUUGCUCACAAUUUUUUAUCCAACUGCCAAAAUUGAUUUUUAACGGUAAAUUAAUGUUCCAAUGGCUAUUUUGGCCCAAAUUUCUUUUAUAAAUGGCCCAAAUUUCAUCUAUUUCAUCCAUUUUUGCUUUCAUUCUUCAUUUGCUCUCUCAUUACUCCAAUUUUUAUUAAGGUUGCUCAAUUAUUUAAUCAUUUUAAGGUAUAUUUGUUUUAAAUUGUAAUUAAUUUUGUUUGAAAUUGUAAUUAAUUCAUUUAUUUUCAAUUAAUUAGUACGUUUGCAAUAUGGAUGAUUUAAUGCUAUUUUUACAUUCAAUUGUAAUUAAUUUUUAUAUUUUUAUUGAAUUAACUUAGGUUAAUUUGAUUAUUUAAUUAUAAAUUGAUAUGCUUAUUUUAGAUGAUUAUUUGUGAUUUAUUUUCACGUUUAGAAUUAAAUUAAACUAGUUAACUUAGCUAAAUUAUUUAAUUAAUUUAAUUAACAUGCUAAAUUAUUUAAUUAAUUUAAUUAACAUGAACUAGUAUAUUUUGAAUAUGAAAUAUGUUUAUUUAAUGAAUUUAAUGUGUACAAAUUAUUGAUAUUUAAUGAAAUGAAAUAUUUUAUGUGACUUUAUAAUGAGAACAAUUACAAAAUUAACAUUUCUUAUAGAUCGACAUGAUAUAAUUUCAUCUAAUAUCGCAAAUUAUAUCAUAUAUAUAUAUAUAAUUUUUCAAUAAAACAACUUUAAAAUGUCAAUUAUACUUCUAAUUAUAUUAUUAUGAGGUUUUCCUUACAUUUCCAUGAGUUUUUAACAAUUUUAAGUCUAUCGAUAUUUUUUUCCAGAAUAUCCGCCGAUAUAUCUUCGAUAUAUUCGUAAAAUCGAAGUACCGAUAUAUUCGUGAUUACCGAUAUUUUUAUCUUUGAGUCUAAGAAGAGGCAGGUAUUAUGCCUUUCCCUAUUCUUCUGGGGUGGCUUUUCUUAAUUAGGCUAGUGUCCCCUUAAGGUGCAUUUUCUUUGCGACUGGUCCUAUAAGUGGAAGGGGGUGCGUGCCUAAAACUAUUUUUAAUGUAUAGUAAUUUUAAAACUAUUUUCAAAUCUAUAUAUAUAUUUUAUUUUACAAGAUUUUAAUUAGAAGUUAUCUUUUUAAAAAAUAAUUUCAAUCUAUUAUCUUUAAAAAAACAAUUUUAAUUUAAAUAUUAAAAUUAUUUAAAAAAUACUAAUUUUAAAAUUCAACUAAAGUUAUGUAAAUCAUUUUUCCUUAAAAGUAGCAUACAUGAAAAUGUGAGGACCAAUAUAAGUUAAGUGGGUGUUUGGAGAAAAUUAAUAUUUAUUAUUUGUUGACUUUAAAGUAAAUUAUAUUUAUGUUGUUAACUUAAAAUUUAUUACUUAAUUUUAGUUUAAGUAUUAAAGUUAUUCGAUAAAAUUAACUUAAAAUUUAUUCUAAAUUAUCAAAUUGAUAUAUUUAUACUCAUAAAUUAUAAUUAGGGUAAAGGAAAUCGAGUAACAAUGAAGGUCAUAGAGUAACAAAAGAGAUCGUUGAAGUAAUUAGAACGAAUGAGGAUAAAAAGGUAAAAUAAAAUUAUAAACUUAAUAAUAAAUUAAUUAUUUUUACUUAUUACUUAAAAUUAUUUUUGACUUUAAGUCAUAUCAUUAAAUUAUUGUUCCAAACAUACUUAACAACUUAAAUUAGGUUAUUAAGUCAAAGAUGGUUCCCAAAACCUCCAUUAGGUCUGCCCAAUUUUGAAUCCCAUUACACAGUUAGGUCCAACUCAUAGCAAGUCUCCAUAAAUUUGUCUAGUUUAUUGAUGAAUAUUUGUGCAGAAAUCUCUAUCUCUAGAUUUUAUUUUAUUUUUUUUCCUCUCAAGAUUACAUAUGUAUUUUUAAAAAAUUCCAAAAAUCUGGUAAUUCUAAAUUUAUUUUAAAAAGACGAUAUAUAUAUAAUUGUUUUUUGAAAUCAACUCGCCGCGACCGGUGGCCUGUAAAUGGCACAUCAUCUCAAGAUCAGAUGACAGAAAAUACUGACAAAAACUACCUGAAUUGAUUUACAUAAUUUUGAAUUUCCUCAUCAUAACAGCCUUAUGAGAUCCAAUAUUCAAUCAUUUUUAUCUGGAAAUAUUCCUAUGAUGCAUUAACACCAACAUGGUGCAUUCAAGAACAGGCUAAAAAGCAAAAGGCCACAACAUCUUACGAUCAUCUAUUUGAAUAAAUGAGCAAGAUCAGGAUCAUCCAAAUUCACAUCCAGCCAUCCAUUCAAACGCAUGUACUCGAUAUAAUGAUCUGGAGGCUUGACCGCACGGGGAUUUUUUGGUGUAAAGCCAUGAAUCCUCUCAAGAUCCCUAGCUAGCCAUCGAACAUAUGCACGGUCCAAAGGAGGAACAAUCUUCAAGAAAAUCUCUUCCUUUUCUUCUUUCACAGGCUUGUUUCCCAUAGUAAGAGAACCUGACCAACUUCAAAAUAUCAGUCAGCAAGAGGUGUUUGAGAAAUUUGAAGUAAACAGUUGAUGGAUAAGAGAGAAAAAUAAUUGAUCUUAGCUGGGAAAUUGACAAUAAUGCCACUUAUAAAUAGCUCAGACCACAACAUAAUCCCUCAACAUUUUCAUAGGCAAUUUGCCAACCUUUGUCCAUCUGAAAAAUAAUAGUAAACUUUUUGACAUGAAAGAAUUUCAUGCCCAUGUGAAUGCAUUGAAGUAGUACUCAAAAGCAAAAACCAUGCGCUGUUUGGCUUGUUUGGUUCCAACAAUAGAAUUUGCCAUGCUCACAUCCAAAUGGUGACUCCAAUUUUUGAAUUCAUGAGAACCUGUCUUAAAAACUGAAUUUUUACAUGGGCAGAUGAUUCAUCAGAUUAGUUGGUCGUACUAAUGCAAUACCUGUACUAUUUUUUCUUUGACUGGCUUUAAAUAAUUACAUGCUCUUAAAUGAUGACAGCAUUCUUUUAAAAUUUUUAGAACAAAACAGGAAAAUAUUGAACAUAAUAGUCAAUUUCAAGAUUAGGUUCAAAGUCAUGCUUCCCAUUAUAUGAUUGUGUAGUUGAGUUAGAUGAUAGAUUCUCUCCAAGCCAGAAAAGGAAACUACUAGUAUAUUGUACCACCUUUAACUGAAAACACUACUUAAGUUAUCGAUCCCAAUGGACCAAUAUUAAGCAAUUUAUCAAAAAUCUCUGAGACAGGGCAAAACCUUCUAAACUUGGUCAGAAAAAUGAUAAUCCUAUCUUCAUCCAUGUCCAUUUUUCCCUAUAAAAACCCAAAAUUAUCAAUUAAGAUAGACCGUUUCCAUCAUAUAAAGUUCAUACCCAUCUUGCAAAAGUUAGUUCCUCAGUUAUACAAAGGCCUUGCAAAUUGCAAGGGUGGCCAGGAAACAAACUGGGCAGAGCCAACUAUUACUAAAACCUUGCAACUUGCAAGGGUGGGCAUGAACUUACCUAGGGCUCAAGCCAACCAUCAACUCUCUGACUUCAAAAAGUAAUGGUUGAAUCUGAGCUUAAUCCUAUUUGGAGUAAUAUAAUUAGCAUAGCAUACUAAUCCAUACCAUCAGUAUAGAAGGGUCACCUCUUAGGCAGUGGCCCCACCAAUUUUGCCAUUUUCCAGGGAAAAGGAAAAAUAAAAGGAUAACAGGAUCCCUAAUCUCUCCCCUUGAUGUAAAAGAAAUUCCCCACCUCCAGGAACUAGAUAAAAAUAUUAAACAAAAGAUAUGAAAGGGAGAAUUUUAAACAAUUCUAUGGGAAGGGCAAGGCUGCAAUUGGAUUUUUAGCGUCUAGGUUACAGUGGAAAAAUCAGGCCCCAACUUUACAAAUGAAAGAUCCUGGAAGUUACUUCAAGUGCAGUCAUAUCCUAGCUUUCUUGGAGGAAAUAUUAAGAAACUCCUCCUGCAUGCUAAUCCAAGAAAUUAAAAUUUUUUAAAAGAACUUUAAGAGCUUAAAGGGUGGUCUUCAUUCAGUAAGUCUUGGAUGUCUCAGUCACACUUCCUUUGGAUGCUUUCUUCAGCUUAACAGCUGAUGAGAACCUUCUACUCCAAAAGAACAAGGAAUGCUUUGGAUAUCAAAUUUAGAUAAUUUUCACACCAUCACAAAAAUAAGGGAUCAAUGAUGUUGAAUGAUUUGAUGCAUUAACUUUUAAAUCAAACCAUUCCUCAUUUACUUGUGCAUUCAUCAAAUCAAAAGACUCAAUAACCAUGUCAAGUAGGUUCCUCUUCAUUUCACCAUUGGGAACAAUCAGAUGUCCAUCUUCAGAAUUUUAAUCAUGGAUUGAUAAUUACUCCCAAACCAUAAUUGAAUCCUCCAAAUAAAGAAAACUUGAGUUUAAUCGUUGUGAAAGUUUCACUUCAACCAUUUGAGGAUGACAGCUUGCUACAAACUUAUAUCUUCUUUGCAAUGAAUGGGUUGCUUUAAGAAGAUACUCAAUACAGCUGCAAGGUUUCAUAUCCACUAUCAAAUUGGAAGGUGAUGAAGAGCUACUCCACCAUCAAAGCUUAAGCACCAACUCCACUUCCAAGAGGAAGGAGAGUUGACUGGAUAGUAUCAAAGUCUAAGUUUCUUAGAUGACAUUUAGUAAAAUCCUCCUGCAAGGUGCUAAGCAACCAAAAAUAGAUCUUAAAGUAACUAAAAAGCCUAUGGGCUGUUUCCUUGUUCAAUGAUUUAAGCAUUAUCUUAAAACAUGCAAUGUAUUUGUAGUAUUUCAAAACUUUAUCACCAAGUAAGACUGACUUAGAAAGUCUAAACAACCACUAACUUUGGAAAUAUGACAUAUAUCUUAGGAUACAAGACAAUGGAUCCAAUCAUUCAAAAUGCCAAAAAACCUAGCUAGUUGGAAAUCGAUCCCCCAUUAAUUAUGCAAGAAGUCCACCAGAAUCUCCACACUAGUCACCUUAUUCGAGACUCUUACUACAUCACUAGAACCAACUCAGACCUAUUGAUCUAUAUAUAGCAUGAACCAGAUGCUCAAGCAUCAAACUCAAGAUGCUGAGGCCAAUUUUGUUCAUCCAUUUCAAAACCACCCCUACUUUCCAAUUGCCUCUCUAUAAACAAAAUAAUCCUUUUCUCUCAAUACUUCAGGAGAGUUCAUCACAAUUACAAACUAAGCCUUCAACUCAACACCAUGACCAACCCUGGCUUAAAACUUCCACUAUUCUAGAUAGUCUUAUCUUGUUCAAUCCUUCAAGAAAAUUCAUCACAAUUACAGCCUAAAUAAUCAAUCUGACACCAGUUUAAAGAGAAGGGAUUUGAAGCAUGCCAAUACCAUGGACUGCCUAGUCAAAGCAAAUUCAAAAGCCUCAUUGUAAAAGGACUUCCAUUUUAUCCUGAUAAUGCUGUUACACUGACCAUCCAACCUCCUUUUUUCCUCUAGAAAAUGAAGAAUUAUUGGAAAGAAAGAAAAACUGUCCUUCACCUAACUCCACAUCACCUACAAUCCUUUUUUAAUUCAUAACCCAUAAUCAUAUUAAUUCACCAGAAGCCUGUAAAAAAACCAACUCAACAUUUAUAAUGCCCUCUAAAAUAACAUUCUUUAUAGAGAAAAUUCAUUCUUAAAAACUAGGUUUAAACAGAACAGCACUCAGACAAAAAAAAAGGCGGAGGAAGCAGAUGGAAAUUACUGUUCCAACUUCCAACCAAAUAGUUAAUUACCGAAAUCAAUUACAGAAACAACUUUCUACUGCAACUUCUCAGCAGCCAAACAUAGCAGAAAAUUUACAGUACACCAGUCACACAAAUACCCUUGGGCAACAAUUUCCCAACAACCAAACAGAGAGCAAUCUCAUGCCCAAACUCAUUCAAAAUCGCACAAACAAUAACAAGAUUAUAAUCGCAAAUAUGAAAAUGAUCCCAAGUAAAAAGCAAAAUAUGGAUGUUAAGAUGAAUAAUUGAGGAAUUUAGGUGAGGCAAACAGUAAAUACAUGGUUCCGUGAGUGAACAUGAUGAGAUAUUGAGAAUGAGAUCGAAGAAGAAACCAAUCUUACCUGUCAGCCAACCAAAGCCCUUAUCCUUCGGUUUCAGCUCCGGUGACACCCCCAACUCUUACCAGCCCUUCUCGGUCCUCGGAUAUAUAUUCCACAUUACUUACAGUCAAUAUAUAAUUCACUUCUCUGACUUUUUCUUUCUAACGCAUAUAAGUUUAUUUUUAUUUAAAACUUCUAUUAUUAUUAUUAUUGCUAAUUUUAGAAAGACUUUACAAAUUUUUUAAUAAUUUAACAUUUUAUAUUGUUUUUCUUUCUUUGAUAUUCAUAUUUUAUAUUUGAGCAAUUUUAAAUUUAUAAAUUUUAUUUUGAGUUAAAUUGUUUACAAUUUUUUUUAAAUAUCAAUUAAUUUUAUAAGCCUUUCCUAAAUAAAUAAAUAAAUAAGUUAUUAAAAUUAUUAUAAAUGUAUAUGAGUAAUUUUUAAUGACAUCAUAAUUAUUAUAUUUAAUUUUAAUUUUCCCAACUCCCAUAAAUGAAAUACUCCGGUUAAUGAAUUUCUAAUGACAAAGGUUUUUCAUAAUUCUCCACAAUUGAGAGAACUCUUAUUAGUUUUUUUAGAAGAUUGAAAUUAAAAAGUACUUUCUUUCUGACGUGAAAUGUAUGUAAUUAAAUUUUACUUUAUGCUAUUUCUUAUUUGAUUUUUCGAAGUUAUGAAAAAAAAAUAUAUAUAUAUAACUAGAAGUUAUGUGAAAUAUAUAAAAUUCAUAUAAAUUUAAGUUAUGUGAUAAAUUAUGUUGUUUUUUUGGUAAUUAAAAGUUAUAAAAAUAUAAUGAGAAGUUAUUAAUGCAAUUUCUAAUUCUUUUUAAUUUAUAUUAUUGUGGACCCCGUAUUUCUGCUCAUACGCUUCCACUCGAUGGUGAACUCACUUUUUAUUUGAAAAUGAUUUAUUGUUUAAAAAAUGAUUUGAAGUCCUCACUUAUUUUUGUUUUAUUUUUAAAGGGUAAACAAAAUAAGAAAAAAAACCUUAAAUGUGACUCUUUAUUUAGAAAAACGGGUCCGUAAAAAAUCGAAUCUGGGUCCGAGGGUCGGGUUACCUAUUGGGAAGGUAUGGUAAAAACCGUAGCACCCCUCUAAGCCCCUAAAAUGGGUCUCUACUAAUAAGGUGAAGCAAUGGUGGCAAUUGAUAGAAUAAUCGUGGAUGUCGAAUAGUAAUCAAAGGUGUGAAAGCAUAACGUACAUGAUAACAAGUAAAUAAAUAAACAUAAUCGGGUACGAGGUGUACCUUAGUCACAAGUUGAAUGCUAUCAUAAGAGACAAGGUUAGUACACAGAUAUAGAACAAUCACAUGCAUGUCAUGUAGUGGAGCAAGUCAAUCAUGUGUGACAAUCAAUCAAUCAAUGGGAAAAUCUUAUAUGUUAGGCCCCACCACUACCCAAUUUAUUUUAGCAUGAAUUAAUUCCAUGAAUUUCCAUUAUUCGGAAUUAUAGAAUAAAAUUCCCGCUUAUUUCAAAAUAUUUAAAAAAAAAUCAAAGAAAAUGUGAAAAUGGCUUGCUGAAGAAAAUGGCCACAAAAUUUUAUUGGAAAAUGGAUUUUUGCAACCUAAAAAAAAUCUAAGGAUGAAAAUUCGAAAAGUUAAAAUUAUUUGGAAAUCUAGAAAUUGGAAAACUAUUUGAAAACUAGAAAUUGGGAAAUUAUUUUAAAAUCAAAGAUGAUGAAAUAAAAAGGGAGGGCGCCCGCCAACAAGAAUGCAUGCCAAAGGCGACCAUGCAAACCAUGCAAGAGUGGGUCCCCAAGGGUGCAACUGCGUUGAGAUUGCUCUAUUGGAGCCGGUGGUGCUGUCAUUUGAUGAGGAAAAUUCUCAAUGUGAAGUCAACUCAUUUUUAGUGGAAACACACCAUGUAGACCUCUGAUGGCUUGGGGUUCUUUUAACUGAGGGUUCUUUGAAGUUCCAAUCAUCAUUGAAGGAGGUCACAUCAAAGCAUCAUUUGAAAAUCCUGUAUCACCAGUUGCAUGGUUGUACAUGUUACACAUGUCCUGACCCGCUAAAACAUUCAAUCUGCCAGCAUGACUAAGGGGAACAUUCGGAACUAGGUCACCACCUAUCCUCAUCUCCUGAGGAUUUCUUACCGAGGACAUUGCUACAAGCUUGGGCUGCUGAGAAACUGAAAGUGGCCUUCCUCGUUAACAUUGAAAUAAUGACCAUUAUCCUACUAUUCCAUGUGGAUUUUCACCCAUACCUAGUCCACGAGUCAAAAGUUCUCUAAUUUGGAGAGUGUUUGAAGCGGCAUAAUGCAAUAGAGCUUGAAAAUAUGUAUUUAUUGCAUAGAAAUCAACACCUUGUAAUCCACUCCCAAUCAUCUGAUUAACGACAUUGUUGCAAAGGAUUGGAGGAACAAAGCAAGACGUCGAUGAUAGAACAAGGUGGUAGCUUCUCUACUCUUUCCUACAACCUUUGUAGUCUUGUGGAUAGUGGAAAAGGUAAGAGUAUUGGGUUCAACACCUUAGUUUGGCUUUUGGACAUAGAAAUUGGGUGCUUGCUCACGGUAUUAGGGGUUGACUGCACUGCAUUAGAAUGGGUAUGAAUUAUUAAUCUGUGGACUUGGAGAUAGGUUAGUGUUAGACUUGCUGUUAAUGGUUGGUAUGGUGGGUGUGAAAGAUAGGUAUGAAUAUGGGUAGGAGGACGUGGAUGACAAAUUCAACUGGGUAUGAGGUGUGAGAAGAUGGGUGUGGUGAUGGGUGUGUUGGGAUAUGAAAGAUAGGAANNNNNNNNNNNNNNNNNNNNNNNNNNNNNNNNNNNNNNNNNNNNNNNNNNNNNNNNNNNNNNNNNNNNNNNNNNNNNNNNNNNNNNNNNNNNNNNNNNNNUAUAAGAAACUGGAUUUUGCAGGAAGGUUUCUUAUCAUUCCAUAUCAUUUUCUACACUAUUACAACCUAUUUAUUCACAUCUUGAAGAUGAGAUAACUAACUAACAAAUUAUAAGUACAUUAGUUAAGCCAUAACAGAAUAACAAACGGGACUGUUAUCUGGUGCAAAUGAGGAGUUUUCUGGUGGAGUUUGGUAGUUAGUUGUGAGACUGUUUUGAGGUUCAACAUCCCCCCGCAAGCUCAUAGAGCAAGGAACCACAUAGAGUUUUGUAUGGAGAGUGAUGAACUGUGAGCUUGGUAAAUGCUUGGUGAAGAUGUCAGCUACUUGAUCUGUGGAUGGGAUAUAUUGAAUUUGAAUUUCUUGACGUAGAACCUUAUCACGAAUGAAGUGAAGAUCUAAUUCCACAUGUUUGGAACAUGCAUGAGAAACAAGGUUGGCCGCUAAGGCUGUAACACUUUGAUUAUCACACCAGAGCAAAGGGAUAGUUGUUUGAGAGAUACAUAGUUCUUUUAAUAAUGCUUGCACCCAUGUAAUUUCAGUUGUGAGGGAAACAAGAGCUCGAUAUUCCGAUUCAGCGCUGCUACGAGAGACUACCUUUUGUUUAGUGGAAGACCAGGAGAUGAGAUUUGGUCCAAAAAAUAUGCAGUAUUCUCCGGUACUACAACGAUCAUCUGGGGAUGAUGCCCAGUCGGCAUCAGUGUAGCCUUGGAGUUCAAAGGAUAAGGAGGCAUGUAAUGAAAGACCAUGAGAGGAGGUGCUUUUGAGAUAGCGUAGAAUUCAUUUAACUGCAUUCCAAUGGGUUGUGGUUGGGUGUGCCAUGAAUUGGCAUGCUUUAUUUACAGCAAAUGCAAGGUUUGGACGGGUGAUGGUAAUGUAUUAAAGUGCUCCAACAGUUCUUCUAUAUAAGGAAGCAUUUGGAAGAGGAUCUCCAUCAACAAGAGAAAGUUGCUGCUCGAGAGGUCCAGGUGUGCGUACUAGUUUGGCAUUAACCAUGUUAGUUCUAUGUAACAAGUCUUGUAUAUAUUUUUGCUGACUAAGAUGAAGAGAAUCUGACUAAGAAGUGACUUCAACUCCCAAAAAAUAGUUAAGAUUCCCGAGAUCACAAAGAGUAAAUGUGUUGCUGAGGUGUUUGAUGAAGGAGAAGACCUGAGCUGUGCUUCUCCCGGUGAUAAGAAUGUCAUCAACAUAAAUGAGUAUAAUGAGUAAAUCUGUAGUUGUGUGAUGGAAAAAGAGCGAGGUAUCAGCCCGGGAAUUUUGAAAACCAAAUGUGAGUGGAUAGGAGCUGAGCUUAGUGAACCACGCUCAAGGAGCUUGUUUGAGUCUAUAAAGCGCCUUGUGAAGACAACAUACAUGAGACGGGUUUUGGGUGUUCACAAAGCUAAGAGGUUGAUGCAUGUAUACUUCAUCUUGGAGAUCUCCAUUGAGGAAGGCGUUUUGAAUGUCUAGUUGGCGUAUUGGCCACUGAAAAGAUAAUGCAAGAGAGAGAACAAUAUGAAUGGUCGAAAGCUUAACCAUCGGGCUAAAGGUUUCAAAAUAAUCAACUCCCGGAAUCUGAGUGAAGCUUUUGGCAACAAGUCGAGCCUUAUAGCGGUUAAUGUUUCCAUCUGGUUUGUAUUUAAGUUUAAAAACCCAUUAGCAGCCGAUUACAUUUCCAUGUGGAGGAGAUGGAACCAAAGUCCAGGUAUUUGUUUUUAGUAGAGUUGUGUACUCAACCUCCAUUGCUUGGUGCCAAUGAGGGUCUUGUAAGGCUUGCUUGACUGUACGUGGUUCGGCUGGAGCAGAGACGGUAAAUGCCUUUUUCUUGAGUGUUCCAAUUUUGGAUCGAGUUAGCAUGGGAUGACAGUUGGUCUUGUGGAAAGUGGAAAUAGAAUUGAAGGUGGAUGAAUUAGAGAAUGGGAUUUGAACUAUAGGAGGAAUGGGGAUAUGAGAUGUAGAAUUAUGGGACGUUGGUGGAGAGGAAAUUGAGGAUGGUAAGGGAAUUAGUUGUGAAGAAUGAAGAGGAACUGGGUCUAUUGGGGUAAUAAUUGGUUGGAAAGAUAUUGUUGAAGACGAUGGAAGAGAAGUAGAUGAAUGAAAAGGGAAAUUGGAAUCAUCAAAUUUUACAUGCCUGGUGAUGUAAAUUAUAUUGGUGGAAUGAUGGAGGCACAAAUAACCUUUGUGGGACAAAUUGUAACCAAGGAAGAUACAUGGAGCUGAGUGGUGAAGGAGUUUAUUGGAUGAAUAUGGUCGUAAAUAUGGGUAACAAAGACAGCCAAAAGUUUUGAAAAAUUUGUAGUUUGGAAGUUUAUGGAAGAGAAUUUGAAAUGGAGACAUAUGUUGAAGGGUUGGAGUGGGCAUACAAUUGAUGAGAUGGACUGUUGUUUGAAAUGCAUAAGUCCAGAAUUUUAAAGGUAGGGAAGCAGUGUUAAGAAGAGCUAGACCGGUCUUAACAAUGUGUCUUAUUUUCUUUCAACCCAUCCAUUUUGUUCCGGAGUGUAUGGGCAUGAGAAUCGAUGAUGAAUCCCAUGUUUAGCAAGAUGAGGAGCAAGAGCUUUGAAUUCUCCUCCAUUGUCAGAUUGGAGGUUUUUAAUGGAUAUGUUGAAUUGAGUUUCAACUAAAGCUUUAAAUUUAAGAAAUGUAGAAGACACUUGAUCUUUAGAAUGCAAAACAUAUAUCCAAGUAAAUCUUGAAAAAUCAUCUACAAAUAGAAGAAAAUAACGAGCACCUGUUGUGGAAAGGAUGGGAGCAGGACCCCAUAAAUCUGAGUGAACUAGUGCAAGAGGAUGAGAAACCCUAGAGGUAGAUGAAGAGAAAGAUAGCUUGUGGCUUUUGGCCAACUGACAUGCACAAAAAAUUUGUUUUGUAUUUGUAUUACAAGGAAUAUUACAAGAAGCAAGAAUUUGUUUCAAGAUUAGUGGAGUUGGAUGUCCAAGUCUGUUAUGCCACUUGGAGAAUUCAUUUUUUGGUUGAGCAAUAAACGCCGAGUGACUGUAUGAAGAUGUUACUGAAUCGUGACAAGGAGUGCUAGGAAACUUGUAUAGACCUCGUUCAAUUGUGCCUUGGUGGAGAAUUUGCUUUGUAGUUUUAUCCUUAAUGAGAUAGAUAUUGGGAUGAAAUUCAAAAAAAGAGUUGUUGUCAGUACAAAACUUAGACACACUGAUAAGGUUUGUGGUGAGUUGAAGAACAUGAAAGACAUCUUGAAAUUGAAAAGAUUUCUGAGAGGAAUGAAAGUAUUUGGAACCAAUACUGGAGAUGGGCAAUUGCUUACCGUUUCCAACCGUGACUUGGUCCUUGCCUUGAUAGGGUUGUAUGUUGGAGAGUUGACCCUCAUUGUGGGAUAGAUGAUGAGUGGCGGCGGUGUCAAGAAACCAGGAAUCAUUGAAGGCUGAAGAAAGUGAAGCUACCAUUGCUUGCAUUUUGUUGGUGUUGACUGGUACAUUUAAUGGAGCUUUGGUAGGGUUUGUAGGUAAGAUAUCUGGUCCUUGUAAAUUAAUGUCAAAUCUAUGAUAACAAGAAAUUACUGUAUGCCCAUAUUUGCCACAAAGUUGGCUUUGGGGUCUACCACCAGAUUGAUGUGUGCGUUGAUUUUGUCCAUGAGCAUUCGAACGUCUUCUGUAUUGCUGGUGAUGAAAUGAAUUCUGACUAUUAAAAGAAGAGCUAGGUUUCCUAGUAUGGUAUUUUCUGGAUGGUUGAGGAUGAUCUUGAGUAGUUAUAUGUGCUAAAAUGACUUCAUCUUCUGCUGUAGAAUUUUGGAAAUGAAGUCUUUGUUCAUGUGAGAGCAAAAUGCUAUGUACUGAAUAUAGUGUAAGAUCAUCUUCACGAGCUGUUAAAGAAGCUACAAUAGGAUUAUAAUCAGCUUCGAGACCAGCAAGAAGUUGCAAGAUUUGAUCACAUUCACCCCAAGUUCUCCAAUGGCAGCAAGACUAUAUGUGAUUGUCUUCAUUUUUAGGAUAUAUUCCAUGAUGGGUAGAGAUCCUUUCCGGGUUGUUUGAAAUGCAAGUCUGAGUUGCAUUAUUCUGGCUUUGGAUGAAGUUGAGAAGGUUUUCUCAAGAGCUACCCAAGCUGUAUUGGAUGUUUGGUAUCCAAUUAUCUGUCCCAUAAUCUCGAGAGUAAGAGAAGAAAAGAUCCAACUCAGGAUCAUGCGAUCGAAACGCCGCCAGGUGAGAAAAUCCGGGUUAACUUCACUUGUUGCAAUCAUCUGGGGAGGACAAGGUUUGAGUCCUUCAAUGUGUUCAUCGAAUCCAUUUGCAUAUAUGACAUUCUCUAUUUGAGUUUUCCAAAGAACGUAGUUGUUUCUAUCCAGCUUAACAGGAAGAUGAUGAUUCAGCAUGUGCAGUGACUGAAUCGUGUUAGGCUGCUGUGAUGAGAUGACUUCUGGACCAUGGAAUUGUUGCGGAUUGGAACUUUGGAUGGAAUUGGCCAUGGAAUUAGCUAAAAGAAUGUUGAGUUGAAUUGAUUUUUUCUUUGUAAUAUGUUGAAGCUAUCCUUGUAAAACAUGGGCUAAGGCUAAAUGGGCCGAGUCUUAUUGUUAAAUGGGUUUUAGGGUUAGGGUUGGUAUAUGAUAACUAGAACUCUUGUAAACUCUAUAAAUAGGUGGCUUGGGAAAACGUAAAAAGUGACCGGAAGGUGCAUGAGUCGUCUUUCAAUAGUGAAAUAGAAUUACUCGCUCUCUGCCCGUGGACGUAGAUCACUUUGAUCGAACCACAUAAAUCUUGUGUUUGUUCUUGUGUGAUUGUUUUCUUCCAUUAUUCCGCGAUUCUAUUGCUUGCUUGCUUGACAAAGAAAAUCUGGGUGAUGAGUAUGGACGAUGACUCUGAUACCAUAUAAGAAACGGGAUUUUGCAGGAAGGUUUCUUAUCAUUCCAUAUCAUUUUCUACACUAUUACAACCUAUUUAUACACAUCUUGAAGAUGAGAUAACUAACUAACAAAUUAUAAGUACAUUAGUUAAGCCAUAACAGAAUAACAAACGAGACCGUUAUCUGGUGCAGAUGAGGAGUUUUCUGGUGGAGUUUGGUAGUUAGUUUUGAGACUAUUUUGAGGUUCAACAAGUUGAACCAGGUCUUGACAUAGUUCUGCCAGUGCUUCUUGAAGUUUAGCGCACCAUACACGUUCCAAGGCUGAUCAUGUUGGGCUUUGUGGAGCCUAGUUUUGUUUGAUCUGGUUUGACGACCCGACCCGAAUAAUAUUGCAUGGCUUUUUUAAUGGGAGAUUUAUUGAGGCCUGUUGGGCCCGUUUAGCCCAUUGUGGAACCAGCUUUUGUAAUUAGGGUUUUUUAGUAUGGUAGGGUUGCCGUGCUAUAUAUAUAUAGAGAAUAUUGUAACCGCUCAGUUGUACUCUGUAUUCUUCCCUGAUAAUAGUGAUAUCCCUGCAACUCCGUGGACGUAGGCAAAUUGCCGAACCACGUAAAUAUUGUCUUGUGCGUGUGAUUAUUUUUUUUUGGCGUGUGUUUUCUCUAAUUUUUUGUUUCUCACGGGUUGGGAAUUCGGUUUAAUUCCCUACAACUGGUAUCAGAGCCUAGGGUUAGGUUUGAGUGGGAGCAAUGGCAGAGGAAGCAGGAAAGGCGUCUGGAAUAGAAAAGUUUGAUGGCACAGACUUUGCGUAUUGGAGGAUGCAGAUUGAAGAUUAUCUCUAUGGGAGGAAAUUGCAUCUACCUCUUUUGGGGACAAAACCUGAGAGUAUGAAGGCUGAGGAAUGGGCGCUUCUUGACAGACAGGUUCUAGGAGUUAUUAGGUUAACUCUGUCUAGGUCUGUUGCACACAAUGUUGUAAAGGAGAAGACCACAGCAGAUUUGAUGAAGGCUUUGUCCGGUAUGUAUGAAAAUCCAUCCGCAAACAAUAAGGUGCAUCUGAUGAAGAAAUUGUUCAAUUUGAAGAUGGCAGAGAAUGCAUCAGUAGCACAACAUCUGAAUGAAUUUAAUACAAUCACAAAUCAAUUGUCGUCUGUAGAAAUUGAUUUUGAUGAUGAGAUUCGUGCUCUGAUUGUCUUGGCUUCUUUGCCAAACAGUUGGGAGGCAAUGAGGAUGGCAGUAAGCAAUUCUACAGGAAAGGAAAAGCUCAAGUACAAUGAUAUACGAGAUUUAAUUCUGGCUGAGGAGAUUCGCCGAAGAGAUGCAGGUGAAACCUCAGGAUCUGGUUCUGCCCUAAACCUUGAGACAAGAGGCAGAGGUAAUAACAGAAAUUCAAAUCAGGGUAGAUCAAAUUCCAGAAAUUCUAAUCGGAACAGAAGCAAAUCUAGAUCAGGCCAACAAGUACAAUGUUGGAAUUGUGGGAAAACAGGUCACUUUAAAAGGCAAUGCAAAAGCCCUAAGAAGAAGAAUGAAGAUGAUUCUGCUAAUGCUGUAACAGAAGAGGUACAGGAUGCAUUACUUCUUGCAGUAGACAGUCCACUUGAUGAUUGGGUUUUGGAUUCAGGAGCUUCGUUUCAUACCACUCCACACCGAGAAAUCAUACAGAAUUAUGUUGCAGGUGAUUUUGGUAAGGUAUAUUUGGCUGAUGGUUCAGCCUUGGAUGUUGUGGGUCUGGGAGAUGUCCGGAUAUCGUUGCCCAAUGGGUCUGUUUGGUUACUGGAGAAGGUUCGACAUAUUCCUGACCUGAGGAGGAAUCUGAUUUCUGUUGGACAACUUGAUGAUGAAGGACAUGCAAUACUAUUUGUUGGUGGUACUUGGAAGGUUACAAAGGGAGCUAGGGUAUUGGCUCGUGGAAAGAAGACUGGCACUCUGUAUAUGACCUCAUGUCCAAGAGACACAAUUGCAGUUGCUGAUGCAAGUACUGAUACAAGCCUAUGGCACCGUAGACUUGGUCACAUGAGUGAGAAAGGGAUGAAGAUGUUGCUGUCAAAAGGAAAACUACCAGAAUUGAAGUCCAUUGAUUUUGACAUGUGUGAAAGUUGCAUCUUAGGAAAGCAAAAAAAGGUGAGCUUCUUGAAAACUGGCAGGACACCGAAGGCUGAAAAAUUGGAACUAGUACACACUGAUUUGUGGGGGCCUUCUCCGGUUGCAUCCCUAGGAGGUUCAAGGUACUACAUCACCUUUAUUGAUGACUCAAGUAGAAAGGUAUGGGUUUAUUUUCUGAAAAAUAAAUCUGAUGUAUUUGUAACUUUUAAGAAGUGGAAGGCCAUGGUUGAGACAGAAACAGGUUUGAAAGUAAAAUGUUUGAGGUCAGAUAAUGGAGGAGAGUACAUAGAUGGAGGAUUCAGUGAGUAUUGUGCUGCACAGGGAAUUAGGAUGGAGAAGACCAUUCCUGGGACACCACAACAGAAUGGUGUGGCUGAGCGCAUGAAUAGAACUCUCAAUGAGCGUGCUAGAAGUAUGAGGUUGCAUGCUGGACUACCAAAAACUUUUUGGGCUGAUGCUGUUAGCACUGCAGCUUACCUGAUAAACCGAGGACCAUCAGUUCCCAUGGAGUUCAGACUUCCUGAGGAGGUUUGGAGCGGUAAAGAGGUGAAGUUUUCACAUUUAAAAGUUUUUGGUUGUGUUUCUUAUGUUCAUAUUGAUUCUGAUGCUCGUAGUAAACUUGAUGCAAAGUCAAAAAUAUGUUUUUUCAUUGGCUAUGGUGAUGAGAAAUUUGGCUAUAGGUUUUGGGAUGAACAAAACAGGAAAAUCAUCAGAAGUAGAAAUGUGAUAUUUAAUGAACAGGUUAUGUACAAGGAUAGGUCAACUGUAACGUCAGAUGUUACAGAGAUAGAUCAAAAGAAAUCUGAGUUUGUCAACUUAGAUGAAUUGACUGAAAGUACUGUCCAAAAAGGGGGUGAAGAAGAUAAGGAGAAUGUAAAUUCACAGGUAGAUCUGAGUACACCUAUAGUUGAAGUUCGCAGAUCUUCUAGGAACACUAGACCUCCGCAGCGUUAUUCACCUGUUUUAAAUUAUCUCCUGUUGACUGAUGGUGGUGAGCCAGAGUGUUAUGAUGAAGCCUUGCAAGAUGAGAAUUCAAGCAAGUGGGAGUUAGCCAUGAAGGAUGAGAUGGAUUCCCUGUUGGGGAAUUAGACAUGGCAACUGACUGAAUUGCCAGUAGGAAAGAAGGCUUUGCACAACAAGUGGGUAUACAGAAUAAAGAAUGAGCAUGAUGGUAGCAAACGUUACAAGGCCAGAUUAGUUGUUAAAGGGUUCCAGCAGAAGGAGGGCAUUGACUACACAGAGAUAUUUUCUCCAGUUGUGAAGAUGUCAACAAUUAGACUUGUACUUGGAAUGGUGGCCGCAGAAAACUUACAUCUUGAGCAGUUAGAUGUGAAGAUAGCAUUCCUUCAUGGUGACUUGGAGGAAGACCUUUACAUGAUUCAACCAGAAGGGUUCAUUGUUCAGGGACAAGAGAAUCUAGUCUGCAAACUGAGAAAGAGCUUGUAUGGCCUUAAACAAGCUCCUAGACAGUGGUACAAGAAGUUUGACAAUUUUAUGCAUAGAAUUGGGUUCAAGAGAUGUGAAGCUGAUCACUGUUUCUAUUUUAACCUUUGACAAUUCUUAUAUCAUAUUACUAUUGUAUGUGGAUGAUAUGCUUAUUGCAGGGUCUGACAUUGAGAAGAUUAAUAAUCUGAAGAAGUAAUUGUCCAAACAGUUUGCAAUGAAGGAUUUGGGAGCUGCAAAGCAAAUCCUUGGUAUGAGAAUCAUUAGAGACAAGGCUAAUGGUACAUUGAAGCUUUCACAGUCAGAGUAUGUGAAGAAAGUUCUCAGCAGGUUCAACAUGAAUGAAGCUAAACCAGUGAGCACACCCUUGGGUAGUCAUUUCAAACUAAGCAAAGAACAGUCACCAAAAACAGAAGAAGAAAGGGACCAUAUGAGCAAGGUGCCCUAUGCCUCAGCUAUUGACAGCUUGAUGUAUGCUAUGGUGUGUACAAGACCAGACAUUGCACAUGCAGUGGGAGUUGUGAGCAGAUUCAUGAGUAGGCCUGGAAAGCAGCAUUGGGAGGCAGUCAAGUGGAUUUUAAGAUAUCUGAAGGGUUCAUUAGAUACAUGUCUUUGCUUCACAGGUGCAAGUUUGAAACUGCAGGGUUAUGUAGAUGCUGAUUUUGCUGGUGAUAUUGAUAGUAGAAAAAGUACUACUGGGUUUGUUUUUACUCUAGGUGGUACAGCUAUAUCAUGGACUUCAAAUCUACAGAAGAUUGUUACUUUGUCUACUACAGAAGCUGAGUAUGUUGCAGCAACUGAAGUUGGAAAGGAGAUGAUUUGGCUACAUGGUUUCUUAGAUGAAUUGGGUAAGAAGCAGGAGAUGGGCAUUCUACACAGUGACAGUCAGAGUGCAAUUUUUCUUGCCAAAAAUUCGGCUUUUCAUUCAAAGUCGAAACAUAUACAAACAAAAUACCACUUUAUCCGUUAUCUUGUUGAGGAUAAAUUGGUAAUACUUGAGAAGAUUUGUGGAUCUAAGAACCCUGCAGACAUGUUGACUAAGGGUGUCACUAUUGAGAAGUUGAAGCUGUGCGCAGCUUCAAUUGGUCUUCUAGCUUGAGGACAGGAGGAUGAGUUGUAGGGAUGAGGGAUCGUUUCUUGGAGGAUAGCGGUUUGAUGUUGGUGAUUGGACUAGUCUCCAAGUGGGAGAUUUGUUGGGCUUUGUGGAGCCUAGUUUUGUUUGAUCUGGUUUGACGACCCGACCCGAAUAAUAUUGCAUGGCUUUUUUAAUGGGAGAUUUAUUGAGGCCUGUUGGGCCCGUUUAGCCCAUUGUGGAACCAGCUUUUGUAAUUAGGGUUUUUUAGUAUGGUAGGGUUGCCGUGCUAUAUAUAUAUAGAGAAUAUUGUAACCGCUCAGUUGUACUCUGUAUUCUUCCCUGAUAAUAGUGAUAUCCCUGCAACUCCGUGGACGUAGGCAAAUUGCCGAACCACGUAAAUAUUGUCUUGUGCGUGUGAUUAUUCUUUUUUGGCGUGUGUUUUCUCUAAUUUUUUGUUUCUCACGGGUUGGGAAUUCGGUUUAAUUCCCUACAGAUCAUACUGCCUCAAAAAGGCAAUCUCAUGCUCCGCCCUGUUCUUCUUCUUGACCCUGCACUAGCAAAAGCUCUGAAGCUGGUACACAAACUCAUUAACCAUGCCCUAGAACCACGGGUUUGUCAACUGCAUGUUGACCAUUCAUGUAACACCACCUGGAACAAAGAUGUGACGGUAGAGAUAGGAUCGAAUACAUCAGACCAACUCAGCUCAGUUUUGAACUCAACAGAACCUUCUUAUCAUUUCUAUCUUCAACUCUGUCAUUCCCUGGACUUCAGAGUACACAACCAGAUCCUCCUCCAAUAGGGGAUAUGUGCGUCUCCAUUCUAAAUAAAAAUUGCCAGAACAGUGAGGAUGAACCACUAGAUUGUUGUUAUUUCAUAUCACUGGUUUCAUAUAGUUGUUCGUUAUGCAACUUCUAGAUGUUCCAAUCUGUACAGAAAGGCACUGGAUUCUCCAAGCCAAAGAUUUAGCAAAUGGGUCCUUGAUUAUGCUCAUUGAGGAUAUCAAGUGGGCCAUUAAAAACUGCAAAGAGAGAGUACAAUGCCCAAAGUAAUUUCAUCAGGCUCAUAUAUUUCACUCAGCAUUCUUUGGAAAAUUCUCAACCCUUCAUGAUAAUCCCCAUUCUUGAGCGUAGCAAGAGACCAUAGCUUUCCCUGUCCAAAAGGCCAACUAGUUGUCCUUUGUGGUAGGUUCAACACCAUUUUCAACUUCUCCAUUGUAUCAAGGGAUAACUAGCACAUGGGAGUAAUGAUACGAUAGAUGGUGAAUGGGUGGCACGAAAUAGAUAAAGCAGACAUGAUGCAUAUUUCGAAACCCUCUAUGGACCACACUUUAAAGUCUCUAUGAUAUUUUGAAGCAUAGCUACUCGGUUAUGAUCUCCAACCUUGAUGCAAGAUGCUAAACCAGGCUCAAGCUACUCAAAAUGCUCAUCGAGUACUCUUUAGAGACCAAGCCUUUAUAAUCACAGCUUUCACUCCCUGGGUUUGCACUCUCAGAUGAAGAUGCACCAACCAAAGCACACCACAGACAAACACCAAAAUAAUAGAGAAGUAUAGAGAGGAAAACUGAUAAAACAGAGCAGGAGUUGGUGAAAUGAGAGUUUAUUAAGCAAAGCUUGGUUUCAUGUGUUAUCAACAGGCUUACAAGCUAGUGGGAGAGAGAAUGGAUUUAGGGUGAAAUGAUAGGAGAGUGACCUUCAGACAUCACACAACAAAGUUGGACCAAAUUCAUAUUAUUUCUCUAAACACAAACAAAGAAGCAACAUAUGGAUAUACAGUCAUAGUGAAUCCAGUGGAAACACAGAAAUCAACAAGAGUAGCCAUAUGAUAUCCACACACAAAUAGCUAAAUAAUACCCAACAAUAAACAAAGGAGAGCGAAUAGCAAGAGAAUAAUGGAGAUAGAUAAUAAACAUACCUGAAAAUGCUCCUCUCCAGCUUCUUUUUCAAUUUCUCUAGUUCUCUUCUUUAUUUCAACUCCUGUUAUCUUUGCUGCUGUAGACACCUAUCUCUCCUCUCAACAUUCUUCUUCCUCCAGCUAUCCUCCUCAAGCUCUCUCUAAACCCUGCACCUCUCACUCUGGUUCUCUCAUCUCUCAAACCUCCCUUAUGUUCUUAUUCUCUUGCCCAAAAGACCUACACUCCUUUGCAACCUCCCCGUGACCACCUUUAGAGAAAAAAACCCAGAAAAUACUUCUACGUUCCUCCCCUCUCUUCCUAACUUUCUCUCCAAGCUACUCUUAUUACCCUUUGUCACCCUCUAACUUGCCUCUCAAAAUACUCCGACAACAAAAUAUCUCCUCGAUUCUAACGACCUCCCACACUCUCUCUAAUAGCCUACGCUCCCCCUCAGAAUCUUCCAUAACAGGUGUCAUUUCCCCAUUGCUUCUCCAAACCACUAACAUGAUUCUCCAACAGCUAACCACAAGCGACACGUGGUCGUCUCCAAUCCUAGCACCUGGCAAAAAUGAGCUGUAGAAAGUGCAAGAAAAAAAAUGAGCCCCAAAAUGGGAGUCUACAAUCAUAUAAUUGAAAGUUAUACAAAACAAAAUUAUCAAUUAGAUACUUGUAAAAUUUUAUAAAAUUUAUAUAGUUAAAAGCUAUAUAAAUAUUAUUUCAUAACUUGAAGUUAUUUACAUUUUUGUUAUAAUAAAAUAUAUAAAAACAAUCCAUAGUCAAAAGUUAUGAAAAUCAUCAUUUCUCGAUUUUUAUUGUGUGAAUACCACCUAAUGUUACACACUUUUUUUUAGCAUGCUUAUAAUAAUACUAUGGCAAUAAACUAUAAGGGAAUCUUAAAUUGUUAUAUUUUUAUUAUUAAAUAGAUUUAUUCAUUUAUUUAUAGUUUUUUAAAAAAAUUGAAAUAUAAUUCUAAUUGAAUUAUUCUAUAUAUAAAUUUCAGAAAAUGUCAAAUAUUAUGAAGUUUGUGUACAUUGCCUUUAAUAUUUUGAGCAAAACCUACUUUAUCUUGAAUUUGGGAUAAUAAAAUUUAUUUAGAUGUAAUGAAUCUUAAGAUAACCAUCAAAGAAGGAAAUAACACGUCUCUGGAAGAUUGUGCCAAAACUUUAUUAUUAGUUUGUACUCACGUUAAUAAUGAUUAAAAGUGAGUACCUUCCUUUCAUCUUUUUGAAUAAUUUGAAGGAAUGAUAUCAUCACAAAAAAUAGUAAACCUUCCAAAAACAUAUGGGUUAUAACUUAAGGUUUUUUAAAGAACAAGGUAUUUCUUAAAGGAAAUUGUUGAGGGUCCCUUGAAACCGAGAAUUCAAGUAUUAAGUUUGAAAACUUAGUUUAGAAGUCUUAGUAUAGUAGAAUUUCAAGUUUGGUAUCAAAGUAAGAGGAAAUGGGAUGUAUACCGGGAUUGAGUCAAACCAUUAUAAAUAGAGAUUUGUAAUCCCCUUUCCUUUCUCUUUUUAUAUUUAUUGUUUAUAUUAUCGUUUGACUUAUUUCUAGUACUCAUUUUUAAAAAAUUUGUAAAAAAGACUAACAUCAGUCCUGGUGGGUGAUUACCUUGUGUUAAUUAACACAUAAACUUAACAUUUGCGUUCAAUAAGCUAUGCUAUAAAUUAGAGUUGUGGACCCAAUUCUAUUAAAGUAAAACCAUUAAAACAAAUAGUAACUAUCACCCUAUUUGGUAGCUAUUUUUAAAAAUAAUUUUUUUCUUCAAAAUAAUUUAAAAAAUAAAAAAUUAUGUUCCACAAUUAGAAAACAAAAUGUUUUCAAAAAAUAUCUUUUAAUUGUUUUUAUUUAAUUUUUUAAAGUUGUUUUUAAAAAUAAUUAUUUAUUACAAAGAAUAUGUAUAUAUUCAUUACACAUUUCUUUAUCAAUAAGAAAACUUAUUCUUAUAAAAAAAAAAAAUCAAUAUAUGGACCACAUGAAAUUUAUUUUUUUUUUACAUUUUUUUCAAAUUUUAUUAAACUAUCCAAAUUUAUAUAAAAUCAUAAAAAAAAUUAAAGACGAUGCCUUUCUAUAAAUAACUUAGUUUAUUUAUUUUCAAAAUUAUUUAUUUAUUUUAUGUUUAUUUAUAUUUAAUUGCUUUAUUUAUUUAUUUUUUGAUUCAAUAAUAUAUGAUAAUCUCCCAAAAUAAUCCUUUAUAAACAAUCCUUGGCAGUGCUUUUUACAUUUCAUAUAAAUAAAAUAAUUUUUAAAAAGCUAAAAAUUUUAAAACCUAGAAAAGAUAGAACAAAGUAAAAAUAGAAAAACAUGAAAAUAAAUAAAAAAUAAUUAAUUUAAAUAAAAUAAUAUUUUUGAAAAAAGUGGAUAAAAGAAAAAAAAUUGAAUUGAAGUCAAGUCGUGGAUACAAUAUCUCAUGGUAAUAACGGAAAGACAUGUUUUGGAUACAAUACCUUAUGGUAAAGACAUGUUUUGAAUACAAAAACUUAACAUAAAAAAUAAUUAUAAAAUUAUGAUAUUUUUUAAUUUCAAAGUAGAAUUAUUUUUUGAAGAGAUGAGUUCAAUAUAAAAAUGAAACUUGUCUUUACAGAAGACAAGUUCAACGUAAAAAAAAAAAAAGUGAACUAGUCUAUUAAAAGAACUCAUCUUUUGAAAAGAUAAAAAAAAAAAAGUGAACUAGUCUAUUAAAAAAACUCAUCUUUUGAAAAGAUAAAAUCAGUACAAAAAAUGAACUUAUCUUUUAAAAAGACAAAUUCAAUAUAAAAAAUGAACUCAUUUUUCUAAAAAUGACGAGUUCAAUAUAAAAAGUGAAAUCAUCUUUUAAAAAGAUGGGUUUAAUGUAAAAAUAAAAGAAAUGAUAAGAAAUACAAUAUUUUUAUAUUUAUUUUUUAAAUAAUUGUCUUUUAAUAAUUUCUUUUAAAAGAACAUUUUUUUUUAAAAAGUGCCACUUACGGAUUGUAAUCAUAUUUUGAAGACACAACUUCAACAUAAUGAAUUGAACUUGUGUAUUGGAAACUAGAAUAAUGGACUGAAGUCAUGUCAUUUUUGUGAAGCUUAUGGGAUACAAUCAUACAAAGUGCCAUUAAUCUUUCUAUCAAUAAUUUUGAAAUUACUCAUUUUUACAAAUAAUUAUCUUUUAUAAUUUACCUAAGGCUAUGUUUGGUUUCAGAAAAUUUGAGGAAAAAUAUAGUAGAAGGAAAGAAAAAAUAAAGGAAAAUAAAAAAUAGACUAAAAAUCGAUAAAUUAUUUGUUUUUAUUACUUCAAACUCAUUUUAUUUAUUUUAACUCAUUAAUAUAAAAAUUAAAUAAUUUAAAAAUAUAUUACUUUUUAAUUAAUUUUAAUUAUAUUAUAUUUUAUUUUUAUAUUUUUCAGACCACCAAACAUAAAAAAAUUGUUUUCUUUUAUAUAUUUUUUUUGCUUAGUAUUUUUGAACCAAACAUAACCUAAAUUUAUCAAAAAUCUGGCGGGGGCUUCAGCCCAGUAGUUCAAAAAUUGGACCGGCCUAUGCACAGCCCAGUAUUCCCCGACUGACUCACGGAGCCUCAAAUCCAAUAUCUGUUGAUGAAAAAGAAUCCGAUCAUCCCUUCUCCAAAGUCCAAACGCUCCGUUUCGGUCGAUCUGUGAGUUGAAGGUAGUCGUUCACUUUUCGACAGAGGCGUUCAACCUCUGGUUACACAAGCAACAGUCAAUUAAUCUCUCAUCCAAAGGCUGCUUCUCGGUGGAUAUCUGAGUGCAAGGUGCUGUUCCAAUCUCUAUUCCCAAUUCAUCCUAUGGAUUUCUAUGUUAGAUACGAUCAAAAUGAGAAAAUGAAAGAAAAUUUUGGAUCGUAAAAUUUUCACCAUCUAGGGUUCCAGAACACAGAAAAUUGCACUUUACCUUAAACUCAUAAGACUGUUGGCUUAGUUCAUCUGAGUUUUUUAAUUUUUCAAAUUAUUAUUAUUAUUAUCAUUUCUUUUGGAUUUUUGGCAGGAAAGAAAGUGAGAGAGAUAACAAAGUAAUUUAAACGUGGUUUUCUUUUAUUUUUCUGCAUUUUUCUUGUUAAGCAAACGGUGAGCCGGAUUUCACUCUGAGUGCUUUAUAAGUUGGAUAUGCUAUUGCUGUAAGUUUUCAAUUCUAGGGUUUCUCUUUGAACAGCCGUGGAACUAUUGCCCGUUUGGAUUGCAGCUCAAACUGAGAUUUUCGUUAGAUUAACGAUCUUUUCUAUUUGGGAAUGUUUUCUUGUACAAAAUUAGGUUUAGUUUAGAUACAGAUAAAAUAUGAAAAAAGUAAUUGGAAUUUUAUGUGGCAAAAUUUUCACCAACAAUGAUUUGAAUCAUAAAAUUUUCAGCAACGAUGAUUUGGGAAUACAAAAACAGGCCAAUCUACUUACUCGGUGCUGUGGGGCUUUUUCUUUUAUUGGAAGCGGAAGAUGAGAAAUAAGUUGUUUUCUUUUAUUGCUCUAUUUUCUUGGAAACCAAAUAGAAGGCUAUGGUUUCUCUUUGAAUGCUUUUAACCUGUCAAUGUCAUUGACACCUUCUUGAAAAUUUUGAAUUCUAGGAUUUCGUUCUGGACUAGCUCAAGUUAGAAAUUUUAUAAAAUUAAUUAUCUAGGAACACUGUCUUCUACAAUUAUGUAUUAAAAAGAUUUGGCUUGAACAUACGUUCACUACUUUUACCAUGGAAACAUAAAUGAUAACCACUAUGCUAUAAAUGAAUCCCAGUGCAAAUGAAAGCCUUUGGAAGAAAAAGAAGAGCAACAAUAAGUAAAUAAAUAAAUAAAUAAAAAUGAAAAUCAAAAUUCUUAUUUCAGAAAAAGCAAAAAAGAACUUUAAAGUGCAAAAAUAAAUAAAAUGAAUUUAAUUUUAUUGGUUAUAAUGCUAAAUAAUAAAAAGGUGAAUUUAUAUGAUAUUGAAAGUGAAUUUAUUAAUGAUUGUUAUAGUUGAGCAAUAAAGAUGUGAAAUAUAAAAUGAAAUAAGUGAUUUAGUAGGAUUACUUUAAGAAGAAAAAAGUCUACAAACUUUUCAUACUUUUAUAUAUAGUAUACAUUUACAUUAUUUAUUUGAGAUGAUUUAUAUUGACAAUUUUAAUCCACCAUCAUUUGUGUAAUUUUGAAUUUGGGUACAGGAUUCUCCUCUGUUUGGUUGCUGCCUGCAGGGAAAUAGUGGGACAAAGUGUAAUUGGUGUGAUGUGAUUAUGCUGCUCUGUUUAGUUGUUAAUGAGUUGUGGUAGAAAGUUAUUCUGUUUAAACCCAGUUUUUCAGAAUGAAGCUUCUCAGUCAAGAAUUUUAUGUAGAGGGCAUUACAAAAAUGGAAUUGUUUUUUAUACAGGUCUGUGGUGAAUUAAUAUGAUUAUGGGUUAUGAAGUAAAAGUAUUAUGGUGUUAGACAUUAAGUGAAGAAGACUUUAUCGUUCCUUCUACUUGCUUCCUGUAGCUUUCAAUAACUCUUCGAUUUCUGGAGGGAAAAAAAGGGUCACAAGCAUUAGUAAAAACAAUGGAGGUUGGCAUGGUUAGGAAGUAAAUGCAACAGAUUGGACUAUGGAGCUGCAUUCUCUAUGGAGGAAUUUGGAUGGAAGUGGCUAGAACAGGGAGAUGUUUUUAUCAGGAUAAAGUGGCAUUUCUAACUUUUAACAUGAGGUUUUUGAAUUGUUUUGACAAGGUAAUCUAUGGUAUUGUCAUGAUUUUUCUUGAAGGAUUAAAGAAGAUAAGGAAAAUUUAGAUUAUAUAGAGAGUUUCAAAGUGGGGUUAGUCAUGGUGUUUGGGUUGAAGGCUUAGUUUGUAAUUGUUAUGAAUUCCUUUGAAAUAUUGAGGGGUAAAGAUAAUUUAGUUUAUAAGGCUUAUUAUGCAAAACCUCCAUAAAAUAAUAUGCUUGAGACUAAGAGAAAUUAUUAUUUUAGUGGUGUUAUUAAUUUAUUGAAAUUAAUAUUUAUUAAAUUAUGAUACGGAAUAUGGGAUGAAAAAUAAUAAGUUCUAUAUAUUAGAUUGACUAUACACACAGUUUAUAUAGGAGAUUACAAGAGAAGAAAUAGGAAACAAGAGACAUAAUAGGAAACUAACUUAUUCCUAAAUUAGAAAACCAUCUAAUUGAAUCCCUGAAUUUAAGGGAUUUUAAAAUAAUUCUCCUAUUCUAUUUACAACUCAAUUACAACCUAUUUACAACUCGACACUCCCCCUACAACCGAGGAAUAGAUGUCUUCCAUUCUCAACUUGAAUACAAGAUCGUGAAACAUUGAACUAUUCAGCCAUUUUGUUAGGAUAUCAACUAAUUGAUGUUCUGAUGGAACAUAAGAUAUACACACUACUGCUUCCUCCAAUUUUUCUUUGAUGAAAUGCCUAUCAAUCUCAAUAUGUUUUGUCCUAUCGGGUUGUAUAGGGUUAUGAGCAAUAUUGAUAGCUGACUUGUUGUCACAAUAGAGCUUCAUAGGACCAUCUCACUUGAUUCUCAAAUCAUCUAGAAUAAUCUUCAUCCAAAGUAGUUCACACAACCCUUGAGCAAUGACCCUAAACUUUGAUUCUGCAAACAACCUUGCUACCACAUUCUACUUUUUUAUUUCUCUAUGUUAUCAGAUUACCUCCAAGAAAAGUACAAUACCCUAUAGUUGAUCUUCGAUCCACUAGGGAACUUGCAUAGUCAGCGUCGAUAUAUGCUUCUAGAGCAAGAGUAUUCUUCUUCUUGAACAAAAUUCCUUUCUCGGGGUUGCCUUUCAAGUAAUGCAACACCCUAUAAGUAGCUUGAAGAUGAGGUUCUCUUGGAUCAUGCAUGAAUUGACUGAUCACGCUCACCGAGUAGGCGAUGUUUGGCCGAGUGUGAGCAAGGUAUAUGAGCCUACCAACCAACCUCUGGUACAUUCUUUUAUCCACCAUUGGUUCUUCUUUAACUUCUCCCAACUUGUGGUUUGGAUCCAUUGGGGUAGAGACUGGUUUACACCUAAUCUUCCCUGUUUCUGCCAAUAAAUCAGUCACAUACUUUUGUUGAGAGAUGAAGAUCCUUUGUGUGGAAUAUGCCACCUCAAUACCGAGGAAGUACUUCAGUUUCCCUAGUUCCUUUAUCUCAAACUCUGUUGUUAAUCUCUGCUUCACUUCAUGCUUUUUUCUCUCAUCAUUUCCAACCACUAUGAUGUCGUCAACAUAGACUAUAAGAGCAGUUACUCCCCCUGCAAUUGAGUGCUUAAUGAAGAGAGUGUGGUCACUUUGACUUUGUUUGUACCCAGACUCUUUCAUGACUUUUGCAAAUCUCCCAAACCAAGCCCUAGGAGAUUGUUUUAGCCCAUAAAGGGCCUUUUUCAGCUUGCACACCUUGUUACCUGUGUUUCCCUCAAAUCCUGGUGGGAUGUUCAUGUAAAUCUCUUCAUCUAAAUCACCAUGAAGAAAUGCAUUCUUAACAUCAUACUGUAAGAGUUGCCAAUUAUAGUGGGCGACUAGUGAUAGUAGGAUUCUUACAGUAUUCAUUUUUCUAACUGGAGCAAAAGUCUCCUGAUAAUCAACUCCAUAAGUUUGAGUGUACCCUUUGGCUACCAAUCUUGCUUUAUGUCUCUCAAGAGAUCCAUCAGUCUUAUAUUUCAGUGUGAAAAUCCACUUGCAAUCAACAAUGUUUUUCCCUUUCGGUCUUUCAACAAUCUCCCAUGUUUUAUUCUUUUCUAAUGCACUCAUCUCCUCUCUCAUAGCAUCCUUCCAUUCCCUUUUUGUCAAUGCCUCAGAAACAAUGUUAGGGAUGAUAGUGGUGUUUAGACUCACAAUGAAAUUCUUGUAGGCUGGUGAUAGGUGCUUAAGAGACACAUAGUGUGAUAGUGGAUAGAGUGGUCGGUUAGUGCAUUCUCUGGUGCCUUUUCUGACAGCAAUGGGAAGGUGUAGGUCUAGGUUGUCUGUUGAGUCAGUGGAAGUUUCACCAGGUUGUGUAUGUAAAGGUGGGUCUGAUCUUAUCGUGAUUUGAUUCCCAGGGUCUGACUUGGAUUCUUGGACCUGCUUUUGUUCUAGAAUGACCUUUUCCCUUGAAUACACCUUAGGAAACUGUGGAAAAUUGCGAGUGACGCUGGCUGGAACAGGGGAUGACACGGGUUCAUUGGGAAAAUUGGGUGACUUAGGGGUGAUUGGCUCGGAUGACUCAAGUUCUUCAUCACCAUGGGUUGAGACAUGAAGAAGGUCAAGAGGUUCAAAGGACUUACAAUGGCUAUCUUCCAUCAUUGAAAUCUCCCCCUGAAGAGAGGACUUGGGGAAAAAAGGUUUAUUUUCUAUGAAGGUGACAUUUGCAAAGAUGUAAAAUUUUCUGAUUGAGGGAUUGUAACACUUGUAUCCUUUUUGAGUGGAUGAGUAACCAAGGAAGACACAUUUUAUGGCUUGGGGGUCUAGCUUGUCUCUAUGUUGGCUGUGGACAUGAACAAAUGCAGUGCAUCCAAAUACCCUAGGAGUGAGCCCAUUUGAGGUUCUGAAGUGUGGAUGGAAACUCUUAAGUAUCUCUACGGGGCUUUUGUUGUCUAACACUCAUGAGGGAAUUCUAUUUAUCAUGUAUGUGGCAGUAAGAACAGCUUCCCCCCAAUAGGUCUUAGGAACAUUCCCUUGAAAGAGUAAGACUUGAGUUGUGUUGAGUAAAUGCCCAUUUUUUCUUUUGGCUACCCCAUUUUGUUGGGGUGUAUUAACACAUGAUGAGUCAUGGAGAAUGCCCUGUGAUUGAAAAUAGGGUGACAAAAUCCGGUUGAAGUAAUCUCUAGCAUUGUCUGUCCUAAAGCCUUUUAUUUUAACCCCAAAUUGGUUUUGAACCGUUGAGUGGAAAUUAGGUAUAACAAUGUUAACAUAAGAUUUUUGUUUAAGAAGAAAGAUCCAUGUAACCCGAGUGCAGUCAUCAAUUAAGGAUACAAACCAAUGAGCCCCAGAAACAUUAGGUAUAGUCGAAGGUCCCCAUAUGUCACUAUGAAUCAAAUGAAAAGGAUGAGAACUUCUUUUAUUGCUAAUAGGAAAAGAUACACGAGUAUGUUUUGCCAAUUUACAAGUUUCGCAAUGAAACUCAGAAAUAUCUAAUCAUUGGAAAAAAUGAGGAAACAUGACCUUUAAAACCAUAAAAGAUGGAUGACCUAGACGUAGGUGAUACGACCAAAUGGUCUAUUUAUUUGAGGAACUGAGAAAAGACAACGACAAAUUAUUACUAGUUUUCUGAGAUGAUUCAAGGUUGUAAAGACCAUUCCUUUCCUUAGCAAGUCCAAUCCUCCUCCCCGAGCCUUGUUCCUGAAAAACACAAUAAGAAGGGAAGAAAAUAGCAUAACAUUUAAGAUCAUAGGUAAGCUUUUGAAUGGAAACAAGGUUGGCCGACGAUUUUGGUACAUGGAAGACAUUUUUAAGAAUAAGGGUAAGUGUGAUGUAUAUGUCUCCGAAACCUGCAACGGUAGCUAAAGAGCCAUUGGCCACUACAAUUUUCUUGUUACUUGGGCUUGAGGUAUAGGUAUAGAAAAGUUGAGAUUUGGAGGUCAUAUGGUUUGUGGCACCGGAGUCUAUUAUUCAAGAGCCAUCAUAAACUCUGUGUGAGGCAUUUAUGCAAAAAGAGAAUGAAGGUGUACCUGAAAGAGCCAAAGAACAAGUUCUAGUAGGUUUGUCAAGGGAUCCCAACAAGCUUCUCAGCUUCUCCAUUUCUUCACUAUUAAACCCGUCUGUUGCUGAAUUUUCCUCAGUUUUAGGCUGCUCUGCCAUGUGUGCUUGAUGCCUUUGCUGCCCUCCUCGGUUUCCUUAUUCACGACUUGGUGGCUUACCAUUCAGCUUCCAACACUUCUCUUUUGUGUGCCUUGGUUUCUUGUAAUAGGUGCACCAGAGAUUGUCCUUGUUCUCCUUCCACUGAUUGUUUCUACCUAAGUGUUUAGGCAGAUAAUUAUUUCCUUGCUCUGAAUAUUUUGUUUUUGCAACUAGGGUUGAUCCAUCCAAGGUUUGUGGUUCAAGCAUAACACUCCUUCGGCUUUCCUUGCCUCGAAUCAGUGCCACCACCUCAUUAAAGCACAGAACCUCCUGCUUGCCAAGAAUCUGGAUUCUCACUUGAUCAAAUUCUGGGUUAAGCCUAACAAGAAAAUCAUAGAUCUAUCUUGUUCAAUGAAAUCCUUUAGAACAGCGGCAUCCUUAGGACAUUUGGUUUUUAUCACCCUAUAAUGAUCAAGUUCUUGCCACAAAGCUUUCAAUUGAUUGACAUAUUCAGUAACUGUUUUACUUCCCUAUUUUGCAGCAAUCGUCUUCACCUUAACCUCAUAUACUUGAGCCGCAUCUCUAGCUUUUGAAUACGUCUAUUGGAUUGCGUCCCAAAUAUCCUUAGCUGUAGCCAAGAACAUACAUGUGUCGCUAAUCUCAGGAGUCAUAGAAUUCCACAGCCACGCCAUAAUCAUAGAAUUGUCUUCAUCCCAUGCUUCAAAACGAGGAUUUCCUGGUUUCCGCCCUGUACACAUAAGAUGACUGAUCUUCCCUUUCCCUUUUAGCACAGUGCGAACAAAAGAGACCAUUUAAGGUAAUUUUUUCCAUCUAGCCUAUACGCAGCCUGAAUGUUUGUUGAGAUCGAACAAUCUCCUCCGAUUGUGCUGUAGUAGUCGUCUCUGCAACCUCUGACAUUUUCCACGAAAAACCUGAUCUCUUGGGAAUUAAGGCAAAUCGCGAAACAAAAAACCAACAGCAAUGAAGGCUGGUAAAAGAACACGUGAAAUACUUUGUUUUGCCUUCAAAAAACAGAGCAAAACAAAGUAGAGAAAGAAAACGUGAAUAAAAAAAAAUCCAACUAUGAAGGCUAGAAAAAAUGGCGAUGAAGGCCAGAAUGAUGCCCAAGUUUAAAAAACCUAUUGCUUUGAUACCAUGAUACGAAAUAUGGGAUGAAAAAUAAUAAGUUCUAUAUAUUAGAUUGACUAUACACACAGUUAAUAUAAGAGAUUACAAGAGAAGAAAUGGGAAACAAGAGACAUUUUAGGAAACUAACUUAUUCCUAAAUCAGAAAACUAUCUAACCGAAUCCCUCAAUUUAAGGGAUUUUAAAAUAAUUCUCCUAUUCUAUUUACAACUCAAUUAUAGCCUAUUUACAGCUCGACAAAUUAAAAAAAAAAUUAUGUUUCUACUACACAACACUUGUAUAUGACUUAUAAAUCCAAAAACAAUAGAUGUGGUCAAAAGUUAAUACAUAGAAGCCUAAGAUAUUCUAAAAAAGCAAAGAUGAUUAUUAAUUGUGGAAGAUAAAAAAACUUAUAAAAGAAAGAGAUGUGGUGUCAAAACUUAAUGCCUUAAAAGAUAAAGAGGUUUCAAGUAUGCGAUGGUUCUGAGAAGAGUUGAAUUAAGAGAAAUAAAAGUUGUAAAAAGUUACUUUUUUUUUUUGAUAGAUAAACGAUCAGAAUAUAUUAGAAAAGGCUAAAAAGCCGCAUGUAUACAGGGGGUAUACACAAAAAAGAGGGAGAGCCUCACCCACCCUCAAGUGGCCGCGAGCCACUCCAAAAAGCCUAAAAGAGAAUAGGUAUCCUCACCAAUGUACACCCUAGCCCAACUCCACAAAUUACAUACAAAAAAAUUCUUGAAUUUUUGUAUAUCUAAAGACCCCCCCCUAAAAGCUAACCUAUUCCUUUCCUUCCAAACCGUCCAAAAAAUGCACAACGGAAUGGAAUUCCAGGUGUCUUUUCUUUUUUUCCCCACAAAAGAUCCCCGCCAACUAAGUAACACUUCUAUAACUGAUUCUGAGAACACCCAUUGGACUCCAAAAAUGGCGAGAGCGAUCUCCCAUAGAGUCUUAACCACUGUACAAUGUAACAUAAUAUGAUUCGCACUUUCCUCUUCACAUCCACACAGAAAACACCGGUUAGGGAGUUGCCACCCCCUUCUUUGAAGCUUAUCCAAAGUGAGGAUCUUCCCCCACGAAGCUUCCCAAGCAAAAAAAGAUACUUUUGUUGGCACCUUAACCAUCCAAAUGCGUCUGUUCGGGAAGAUACAAGCUGAUGACCCCACCAGAAUUUUGUAAGCACCCUUAGCCCCGAAAACACCAUUGCUUUCCCUUUUCCAUCUCACAGCAUCCUCCUCAAUCGAAGUCCUGAAAUCCUUCAGCAGAUUCAACAUAUUUUCAAUCUGUUCCAGCUCCCAAUCAUUGAAAUCUCUAGCCAAUAUGAGAUUCCAACCUCCUUGACCCAAGCUAGAGUCCCACACUUCACUUACUUUGGCAUUCCUAUUACCCGCCAAGGUAAACAGUUGAGGGAAAAUAUGAGAAAGGGCCUCAUUACCGCACCACUUAUCCGUCCAAAACAAGAUUCUGGUCCCCUUGCCUACCUUAAACACAAUACUCUCCCAGCACCAAUCAGCUUCCUUCAUGAUCUCCUUCCACAAUCCCACUCCAUAAGGCCCACAAACGUCCUUAGUCCUCCACCCACCCCCCUCUUGACCAUAUUUCACCCCUAUCACCCUUUUCCAUAGAUUCUCCUUCUCAUAGGCGUAUCUCCACACCCAUUUGCCCAGCAAGGCUUUGUUCAAUACAUCUAUUUUUCGGAUGCCCAGACCUCCCUCCUCCUUAGGGCUACAAACCACCUUCCACUUAAUUAAAUGAGCUUUCCUCUCCAAACUUCCUCCCCCCCAAAGGAAAUCUCUUUGGAUUUUCUCAAUCCUUUUUGUGACAGAUGUAGGGAUACGUAUUAGGGAUAGAAAGUAGAUGGGUAUGCUGGCCAAAGUGCUUUUGAUAAGAGUAAUUCUCCCCCCCUUCGAGAUGUAUUGCCUUUUCCAUUGGGCUAAUCUUCUUCUCAUUCUCUCUUCCACCCCAUCCCAAGAAGAAGAAGUUUUAUGAUGGGCUCCUAGGGGCAGCCCCAAAUAGACAGUGGGCAAUGCUCCCAAUCUGCAUCCUAACUCAGCCGCCAUCUCCUCCAACUCAUCCACCUACCCAACAGGAAUUAGGGCACUCUUAGCAAGAUUAAUUCUGAGACCCGAAGCCGCCUCAAACCACGCCAAGAUCCAGCUUAGAUUGGAUACUUGCUCUCUUUCCGCUUUGCAAAAAAUGAUUGUAUCAUCAGCAAAGAGAAGGUGCGAAACGUUCAUCUCCACACCCCCUCUCCCCCGAAGCCUACAGCCAGAAAGGAAACCCCCCUCACCGGCCCGUCUAAACAGUGUGCUAAGAACUUCCAUGCCCAAGAUGAAGAGAUACGGAGAAAGGGGAUCUCCUUGCCUCAACCCCUUUGAAUUUGGAAAGAAACCAGCAGGCACCCCGUUGAUUAAGAUGGAAAAUUUAGCCGUGGAUAUACACCACCACAUCCAAUCCAUCCAACGCGACCCAAAUCCCAUCUUCCGGAGCACCUUCAUCAAAAACUCCCAGUUUAAACUAUCAUAGGCUUUUUCAAUGUCCAAUUUGCAAAUCAACCCUUUCUCUUUCCUUUUGUGCCAGUAGUCAAUCACCUCAUUUGCCACUAGAGACGCAUCUAGAAUCUGUCUCCCUCUCACAAAAGCAUUUUGAUCUGUCGAAACGACCCUAUCAAGCACCUUCUUUAGCCUAUUGGCUAGGACUUUGGCCAAGAUUUUAUAUAACCCCCCAAGCAAGCUAAUGGGCCUGAAAUCCCCUAAGUCUUCAGCACCUCCUUUCUUAGGGAUGAGGACCAGAAAGGUAGUGUUGAGACAUUUGGAGAACGACCCAUACUCAAAGAAUUCCUUAAAGAGAUCCACCACCUCCUCCUUCACAAACGGCCAGCAUUCUUGCCAAAAAGCCAUUGUGAAUCCAUCCGGCCCUGGAGCUUUAUCUCCCCUCAUCUCCAUCAAGGCACCGUGGAUUUCCUCCUCAGUAAAAGGCUUCUCCAAGUCUUCAGCUUCCCGAAGAGUAAUUUGAUUUAGGUGCAACCCCUCAAUGUCCGCUCUCCACCCCGGUUCUUCUGAUAAGAAAUUCUGGAAGGCAUUCACAAUCCCCUCCCUCACCUCUUGAUCCUCAGUCAGCCACUCACCAUUAAUCAUUAUCCUGUCCAGGGAAUUGUUCCUACGAUGGGCAUUAGCCAUCCGAUGGAAAUAGCCGGUGUUCCUAUCCCCUUCCUUAAGCCACAGCUCCCUUGACUUCUGCCUCCAAUGAACUUCUUCCAACAGCACCCAUUUUUGAAAGGCGUCCUUGGCUUCCUUUUUCUGCUCAGUUUCAGCUAAAGAGAGACACCUCUCACUCUCCACUCCGUCCCAAUAUUCCACUUGCUGGAGGGCAGAAGUUUUGUUAACUUCCAGCCUUCCAAACACCUCCCUAUUCCAGGUCUUAAUCCUUUGCUUUAGUAACUUCAGUUUGGAGGCCAACCUGAAACUGGCCCUUCCUCUCACCUCAAUCCCCUGCCACCACUCCCGUAGAAGACCUUUAAAACCGUCCACUUUCAACCACAUGUUCUCAAAUCUGAACGGAGUAGGACCUCUUCGCAACCCACCACCCAUCAGCAAAAUAGGAAAAUGGUCAAAAGUGGGUCUCUGCAGUCUACAUUGGGCGACCCCACUGAACAUCUCCAGCCACUGUUGAGUCACCAAAAAUCUAUCUAGCCUUGCCCAAGAUUGGUUAUCCCUUCCCCCACUCCAAGUGAAAGCACCCCCUUGCAUAGGGAGAUCCAUCAACUCUAAUUCAUCAACGGUUUGAGCAAAAAUUCUCAUAGCCCCAGUCAGCCUUCCCUGUCUAUUCCUUUCCCUCUGGGACAGAAUGACAUUGAAGUCACCCCCUAAACACCACAGAUCUUCCCACAGGCCUCUAAUCGCCCCUAGCUCUUCCCACAGGCAUUCUCUGUCACCUUUCGAAAAGGGCCCGUACACACCAGUAAAGAACCAGGUCAGCCCAUUUUCCACAUUUCUAAACCUACACGAUACAGAAAACUUCCCCACCUCCGUCUCCAUCACCUCCAACGACCUUUUAUCCCAACACACCAACAUUCCUCCUGCAGAGCCCACUGCAUCCAAUGCCACCCACUUAGACCACCUGCCAGCGCCCAAACUUCUCACCAGACCCUCCGAUAAUGACUGAAUUUUGGUCUCCUGAAGACAAAGGAGAUCCACCCUCUGACUCCUGAUCACUGCCUUAAUAAUCCUUCUCUUGGAGCUGUCAUUAGCUCCCCGAACAUUCCAGCUAAGGAUUCGUAGCUUCAUUAGACUUCCGUAAUCUGGCACCCCCUUGCUUGCUCUCCACCAUUUUGUUUCUUCCCCCCUUCAUAGUUAAUGGAGCACUCUAACCUUCUCAGUUCUCUCUCGAAUUUUGUUUUCUCCAAUAGGGAUUUACUAUGCACUCUUUCCCUUCUCUUACGAAUUUUGACCAAAAAAUCCAUAAUUUCCUUCUCCAGACCCUCUGUCGAAAAUCCCAAGAAAUUGCUGAACUUGGCCAGAUCACUCUUUUCCCAGCUAAGCUCCCCCUCUGCCCUAGAUGCAUGUGGUACUAUUUGGUCUAAGGCCAUCUCCUUUCCACCAUCUUCAGUUGUAUUGUUGUUUACCUCCACCAAAUCCCAACAGUCGGGAUUCUCACCCGUAGGGGAUUUCGAUCCCAUGAUCAUUUGGAUCGGAUUUUCUCCCUCAUCACGCUCUUUGCCAUCCCUAGAAAGGUCGCAAUACUCCCCCAUUGGAGUCCGACCAAAAAAAGGAGAAAGAGAAGAGGGGGUCCCAGAAACCAGGCACUCAUAAACCUUAUCGUACCUCAUCGCUUCCUCAGCCAAGGCAAGAUCAGUAGACGAUCUCUCUUUUUGGAUGAGCUCUGCCCCACUUAGCCUGCGCAUGUCAUCUUCCUCCCUGAGCAAAGGAUCAUUAGGGGCUGGGUUCAUCGAGCACCUUGGGCCACAAGUCUGGGCCACAUUAGAAUGGAGAUUGGUCUCCACCGAUGGGCCUUCGACCACCGGUCCAACACCUUCCUUGGGCUUCCAGAUAAUGGACCUUCUAAAAUCCACCCUCUCUUUUGGCCCAACAUGAUCCACCAAAGGGGACUGAAUUGUAAUGCCCCCAGGCCCACAUGGUCUCUCCAAGAGGCCCUGCACUAACGGGCCGCCUUGUCUACGCUCCAUACCCUGAAACCCUAAAUGCGACCCACCCGACCCGUGAGGACAGUCCAUGGGUUGCCCCGCCCCAGCUGUCAGCCUCCACAUCCCAUCCACCACCUGCUUCUGAGUCUCGAGCCUUGAGCCCCCUUCCUCCUCCAUCACGCGCUUGCCCUCGCGUGGCUGAAACUCACCCGCUCCCUCUCCAGCAGCUGCGAGGUUUCUUCCUUUGUCGGCGGCCUGCAACUUUCUUAACGUCGGCCUGAUUUCCCACCACAAGGCCACCGAAUAGCACGUGUUUUCCACCCAUAUAUCCACCAUACUAGGGAUUCUAUCUUCUUUGAUCCUUACCCGAAUCCUAGCCCACUGCAACUCCUCCAUCCUUACCGUUUUGGCGUCAAUGUCCAAAAAUUCCCCACAUCCCUCUCCUAUCUUACAUAGGGUGUCCCGAUCCCAUAAGAAGAUAGGUAAGCCCAGUAUUCUCACCCAAGCCUCUCUCUUCUUCUCUUCCUCCAUCACGCAUCCCGUCCUUUGGCUCCAUUUCUCCAGUCGCACGUCGCAGCCACUGAUCGAUAUGGCACCAUUUUUUAGGGCUUUCUCAGCCUCUGCUCUUAACUCAAAUUCCAACAGGGCUUUGCCGUCUUCCAACUUGGCCAAGCCUAAGUUGCCCUUCAAUCCCCACCACUUUGACAUUUGGGUCCCCCAGCUUCGCAGAUCUUCACCCCUUCCUAGCAUCGGUUCCCAGCUUCCGACUAGGCACUGAGCCAAUUUCUCCAGUCUUUCACCUGAUGGCUUAUUAACGAUUUUUACCCGCACCACCUCCUCGCAACUGCGCUUCUGUUUCACCACGUCCGCGAAGGAUUUUCCCAACAUGGGGCUCCAACACUUCUCCUUCACUUGCUGACUCUUCUGACCAUCUGAGCCAGGCUCUAUUUCCCGCAACACCUCAACCAACAGGGCCCAAACCCCUUUUGUUCCUUUGCCUUUGGGUACAAAGAUGUUAAAUCUUUUCUUUUCCCGAUCCGUGACACCCAGGCGUAGGAAGCAUCCCCCCUUGUUUUCGCCGCGCGUUAAAGAGAAGGCUCUCCCAUUCUCUUGCCAAGAUUUCUCCCAAUGUCCAUUCCUCGUAUCCUUGAUGCAGAAGGUCAGGCCUUCCAUGAGCGGCCCUAGACUCGCCUGUCCCAACUUUACCCAGGAGGAGACACCUCCCUUUCUUUCAACAAUGAAGAUUUGCGUCCUCCCUUUUUUUCUCUCUGUCUCUACCUCAAAAAUUUUUGAUUCAACCCCAAAGCUCCUUCUCCGAACCCCUGACUGGAGGAAGCCCGCUGCGAUCCUGCUCCCACCCUGGUCCCAGCUUUCUUCUCCAUCUCUCGCACACACUCUCUCUCUAGGUCUUUCUCGCUCCUCCAUCUCGUUGUUUACUGUAAAAAGUUACUUGAUACUGUAUUAUGAAUUUUUAUUUGUUAUCUUUUGAUGCACUUCAUCAAUUCCUAAUUUAUAUUUCCUUAGGCCUUUAAAAAUUUCUAAAAAAUUUAUUAUUUUAUGCAUUUAGCAAUGUUAUUAAUUUAGUACACUAACCUGAGUUGGGACCAAAGAUUUGAUUAUUGUAAGGGUGGUGAUGAUAUGGGUGAACAACCUAGGCUUGAUCUUCUUGACUUUGAUGCUUGAGCUCUCAGUCAUGGUAUAUAUAGAUCAAUAGUUCUGAUUUGGUUCUAGUGAUGCAGUUGAUUUUGAUAUUGUUAAUGUGAUUAGUAGAAUAUUGGAGUCCUGGAUAAGUCAUUAGUGUGGAGUUUAUGGUGGUUUUAUUAUGUAGUUAAUGUGGAAUCAAUUUCCAACAAUCUAGGCGUCUGGCAUUACAAAUGAUUAGUUCUGAUGUAUUGAUAUCCUAAGAUUUAUGUCCUAGUUCCAAAGGUAUUGGUUAUUUCGACUUCCCCUGUUAGUCUUACAUGGUGAUCCAGUUUUGGAAUUGUACAAAUCUGCUGCAUGUGUGCUUGAUCUUUAAAUUAUUGAAUAAGGAAACAGCCUGUAGGCUUUUAAGUUAUUUGAAGAACUUUUUGCUUGCUUUUGCAUUUUGCAGUAGAAUUUGUCUGUGUGGCCUUUAAGAAAUGUAGGUUUUGAUGCUAUCUAGUGAAGUGGAGAGUUGGUGCUUAACCUUUGAUGCUGAUUGAGUUAACUAGUCCUCAUCUUCUAAUUUGAGAGUGGAUAGCAAAAUUUUCUAGCUGUAUUAGUUAUUUAUUAAAGCAACAUCCUUGUAGGAAGCUAUUGCCUGCUAAUGGUUGAGGGUAUCACUUAUCAGCCACCUCAACAGAGGGUUAUAUAGCUCCAACAAUUGUAACUUUACACAACUAUUAAAGUCAAGUUGUCUUCAUUUGGAGACUGCUGCUAUGGAUUGGGAGUUAUUAUUAAUCCAUAAUUAAUAUCCUGAAAAUGUGAUUAUUCCCAAUGGUGAAAUGAGGAGCAAGCCACUUGUAAUGGUUAUUGAAGUCUUUUGAUAUGUUGAAUUCGGAAGCAAAUGAGGAGUGAUCUGAAGUUAACAAAAGCUUUGGGUUUAAAUGUUCAUGCAUCAAAUCAUUGAAAAUUCUCUAAAUAUGAUACUCAAGGUAUUCAUUAUUCUUUUGGAAUAGAUAGUUCUCAUUAACUGUUAAGCUGAAGAAAACAUCUGAAGGAAGUAUGGUUCAGACAUCAGAGGCAUUGAAUGUAAGAUCACCUUUUAAGCUCCUGAAGAUCUUCUACGAACUUCAGAUUUCUUGGAUUAGCAUGUAGGAGAAUUUUUCUAAGAUUCUGUCCAAGGAAGCUAGGAUUUAACUGCACUGGAAGUAACUUUUCAGCAUCUUCCUUUUGCAUUGAUGGGGCUAGAUUUUUUCACUGUAACCUUGAUGCUAAAAAUCCUAAUGCAGCCUUGCCUGGCCAAUUGAUUUGUAUAAAAGUGUGACUUUUUGUAGAUUUUUUGUUUAAUAUUAUUUAUCUAUUGCCAGAAGGUGUGAAAUAUCUUUUACACCAAGAGGAGGCAUUAGGGAUCCCCUUUUCCCUUUUUCUUUUUUGCUGGGAAAAUAGCAAACUUCUAGGGUCACCUCCUUAAAAAAGGUGACUUUUUUAUAUAGGUAGUAUAGAGAAAUCACAUAUAGAUAGCUAUGUGACUUUUCUUUUUCAUUGUAUUUGUUUUUCACAUCUGCUACAAUAUAUAUUUAUAUAUUUGAUAAUAUUUACUGUAGUUCUGCAUUAUUUAAUUAUAGAAGGGAAAUGUUUUACAUAUAUGAUCCACAUAUCAUGGCUUUUAUCCUACUCUAUUUUUUGCAGAAGUGGAAGAAAAAUUUGAAAUGAAGAAGUAUGGCUUGCAACUUAGGGUUCCCCCCUCACAGCAGAAGAAGCAGCCAACAAGACCUCCACUUCCACCUCCUCUUGGGUUCUGUGAUGAGAAUGAGGAUGAUAUUGAGAGAGAGAUUUCUCGCCAAGCCAGCAAAAACAAGACUCUCAAGGAUGUAGUGAUCUGUUUAGCAAUUUUUUAAUUCCUGCUUUCACCUCGUUAAUGUUUCUACUAUUUAUUUUUAGAUUUCCACACUUUGUUUUGUAGAUAGAGGAACAGCAUAAGAAAGCCUUGGAAGAGGAUCCCACAGCAUUUGAUUAUGAUGAUGUUUAUGAAGAAAUGAAGGAGAAAACAAUUCGUCCUCUAGCACAGGAUCGCCAAGAGAGAAAGGUACCUUGAUGUUUGUGGUUCUUACAUAUACCUCUGAAAAGCAUAACUAAAUGACUACUAUGAAUGCAUGGAAAAAUAUUUGGAUUAUUGCUUAAAUGUUCUAUCUCCAAAUCCAAAUUGAUAUAACAAAUGGGAGGAGGUGGGGGGAAAUACUUUUUGUGUGUGUGUGAGAGAGAGAGGGCUACUUUGUGGUCUAGCUCCUAUUUAUUAUCAACAAUAUAUUCUUAAGGCAUAUGAAAACUUAAGUUGGUAGUUCAUGUUUCCUAUUUUAUCCCACUACUUCUAGUAUAAUGUCUCUAUUGUCAUCUUCCAAACCCAGACCCCUUUUGUUUGUCAUAGUUAUGGAUCUGAGAACCCUGUUUUGUUGCGAGAAUGAGUGCAUAGAGCAAUCUCACUUUCAUUUAAUGUGCAGAAAUCAGAGCAUCAUGAAGGUGAAAUAAGUUGAGUUUAUUCUGACUCUCCUCCCUCACCUUCUUUUGACAUUGUCUGAAUUUUCAGAAAUCCCAAAGAUGAGAGGCAUCUAUUAUUAAUUUAUUCUUUGUUUGAGAUGAAUUAAUAAAUAGAUAACAAUUCUGUUUGAAGUUUGAAAAUUGAUGCAUUGAGUUCUGAAACUGUCUGAGAAGUUGAAAAUAUGAAAUUGUAGUAAUAGGAAGUAUGAAUAGGUAAUAGGAGCCUAUGGCAAGCAUCGCUUUAUCAUCAAGAGACAAGCUUCUCCUGCAGCACAUCACACAUGUCAACUUUUGUUUCUGUUCACCACCACCAGCAUUCACCUUUUCCUGUUGCAUCUGCUUCUGUGAUAGCUAGGUCAUUAUCUUGUUUCUCUUGUUUCAAUAGCUUAAGUUGUUUUCAGAAUUGAUCAGAUUUCUUGUUUUUCUUGACAGCAUUCUAUCUACUUGCCUAUGAGAAUUCCUUUUUAAUAUGAACUAGCCAGAAUCCCUCCUAUCUGCUUUUGGACGUAAACUGGUGAACCUCUCCUAUCUGUUUGUUUACCAUAAUGUUCUUUGUAAGAACAUGGAACUGAUGGAAAUUCAAAAUGGCUAUACUAGGGAGUAUAUGCUUGUUGAGCUGACACUGAAGUAGAGUAUGCAUAUAUGGGCUUGUUAAAGUGUAGAAAGCACAAAACACCUAGUUUUUCCCAUCAGAAUAUUUUCUUUAUAAGCCUUCUCAAGAAUCAGUUUUCAAUGUACUUCCUACAAAGGACCUAUGAUAUAAUUUUAGUCUUAACAUGUUGCAAGUUUCUUCUUUAAACUUAUUAUGAAUAUGUGUUAAAUUUGUAAUUCAAAUGCAAGAACCUUGAUGCCCCCUGAGGUGUAGCCCAGCAGUAGUGCCUUCUAGUUCAUGUUCAAGCUUCCUUGGCAUUUAAGUGGUGUAGGCUAGAGGGUAGUACCAUAUCACCUAGUGUUUGCUUUGCUGCAGCUGGAAUAAAGGCUUCGCUGUCAGGGUAAAAUUCCCAUUAUCAUGGGAAAGAAAAAAAGGAAAAAAAAUGCUAUAACUUUGACAAUGUGGUCUAUAAGUUGUUCUUAUGAAACUUAAGCUUUAUCAUUAGGUGAGCCCCUGAUUGGGACAGAUCUGGUGGAGAUUUUGCUCCAACAUCCUAAGUGGGUCUAUACUUGUGGGACAUAAUGAGAACAUAAGUCAACAAUAUAUAUCAAGCUAAUAUGCUCUUAUUUGUGGCUCCAAUUCAACAUGGGGAGGUAGACAAACAUAUGUAUCAAAAUUGAUAAACAAUAAAAAGGGGAGCAAAUAAACAGAGGCUUAAACCCAAACCUCUAUGAAUCACAGCUCUGGCUUGUUUAUAUAUGUUUCCUAACAGCUUAACCUUUUUCGCUAAGUGGUAGGUUAACCUCUGUAGUUCAUAAAGCAACUGACUUCAAGCAUAAAUCUUGGUCGAAGCAAGUUUGAAGCAUGUGCUGCUUCCUCUGUUUAAGUUCAGAACUUCAGUUGAAACCUAAGUUCUUCAAUCCGGAAAUGAGACUCUCACCUAUGAGAUUGAUAUAAUCCAACCAGAACUGAGAGUGCUACUAAUGAAUUAAUGCUCAUGGUUUUUAUUUUAUUUUUAUUUUUUAUUUCAUUUGUUUUGUUGUUUUUCCUUUUUGAAAGAAAAUUAAGUUGUAAAGGUUUGUUCCUGUUCAAUUUGUUCGAGAUUCUUGUAUGGUUCUGAUCAGUUUCUUCAUUUUCCAUUGCAGCCCAAAUAUAUCCAAAAGCUGAUUGAAAAGGCAAAACAAAGAGAGCGAGAACAUGAGAUUAUAUAUGAGAAAAAGCUUGUUAAAGAGAGAAGCAAAGAUGAUGCCCUAUAUGCAGACAAAGACAAAUUUAUCACAGGUGCUUACAAAAAGAAACUUGCAGAGCAGGCAAAGUGGUUGGAGGAAGAGCGGUUGCGUGAACUUCGAGAAGAGAAAGACGAUGUAUGUUUUACUUUCCUUCAUCUGCACUGCACUUACUAUAUUUGUGAUUAAUAUUCCUUAUUAGUUAUUAUCAAUUACCCUUGCUAAUGAUGUGAAAUGAAUGUUAGUAUGUUACAUUGGGCUUAAAAUUUUGUCUAGAGUGAGGCAAAAUUAUUGCACUGCUUCAGUCAAAACUAACCAAUUUUAAUUAUGCAAAAGUAAUGUUGCACAUGUAGUUGGCUUGAACUUACAAAUUAAGACAAGGCUUAUGAAAUAAGUCCUAUAAAUUUAAACCUGGAGGUUAACUUGUCUGUAGUUCCAACUUCCAAGGGGUUGGGGAGCGAAUGUGGAGGUUUCAUGAUUGAUUUCAUGUAACAGCAAAAAGGAAAAAGAAAACAUUACUCAUCAGAAAAGAAAACAAUUAAGAGAUUUUUGUUAUGAUGAUGCAAUUUAUUAUGGCUUUCUACUUUACACUACUAUCCAUAUACUCAAAAACUUGUGUGUUUGACAGUGAUUAUAACAAGUAUUUUUAGCAUUUUUAAUACUUGAAGGAUGAAAAUUUCCAAGUGUUACAAAGGUUAGAAAUACUUCCUAGAAUCACUACCAAACGCACUCUUAUUUUGCUUGCUGCAUCAAUGCUAUUUGAUGGUUCACUUUUUUACCCUUUGUUGCAUCACUCCUAGAUUCUUUUUUCCAUGAUGAUCUCAUUUAACAUGUUGAUACACUGCCUCUGCUAAAUGUCCAAAGUACAAGCUAAACUUUGGAAUCUUGGUCCCGGAAUUUGCCUUUGGGAGUUGUAGCACACGAAUAGUAAGCAAAUAGUCAAAAAACAAGGAACAGCAUAUUCUAAUAUAAUUUCUGAUAUAACAUGCUAAAUGAAACUCAUUCAAGAAGAUCAAUGUUUAUACUGGCUUCUCUGCCAUUAAUUUCAUCAGAACUUGUUAUGUUUUGUAGUUCUUUUUUGUAUUAAGCCCUUUUUAAUUAUAUUAAUGUAUGUUUACUUUCUUAUUUAAAAGGUUACAAAGAAGAGUGAUUUGAGUGAUUUCUACUACAAUCUUUCAAAAAAUGUUGCUUUUGGAGGGAUAGAGGCUAAGUUGAGGAAGCGGGAAGAAAAAGUGGAUGCUGAUACAUCAGAAAAAGGCUCCUCAUCCACAAAUACACAUACAGAUUCUUCUGUGAUAAAUGAAGGGCAUGAAGGGCAUGAAGGGCAUGAAGGCAAGACUUCUACUCCUUCAAAGGAAAGCUCCCAGUCCUUGGAUAUAAAGCCAGUUUCUGAUGCUUCUGCACAAGAAAAAGCUUUAGCUGAAGAGACACUAGCUCAGCAACCAAAAAGUGAUCAUCAUAAAAGAAGCGAAGAUGCAGUGGCUGCAGCUAAGGAACGUUUUUUGGCACGGAAGAGGGCAAAACAACAGUAGAUAGAGGUGCCUGUUUUAUUUAUGUCCAAAUAUGUUGUAGUUAAUUCGUGAGGAUGCUCUCUGUAGAGGAUGGGUAUGGAAGAUAAGAGUUAAAAUGUUCAAAUCUCCCGGCCUCUCCCCAGGAGAAAGGAACCAGGUUGAGAGAUACAAGAUUCACAGUUGAAGUGAGAUGGAUGAGCAAUAUAGUCGUUGAUACAAACAAAUUGAGUAUGGACAACUUACGUCGUGAAACGUGGUUUUAGGAAUGACUUGGACUCUAAAUUUAACCAUUUUUCUUUCACAUUUGUCUUUACUGCAUGUGUAAAUUUUCUUUUUCAUUGUCCCUAAUUGAUGUUGCUAUUUACCGUAUUUUCUUACAUUGAACAUGAAUUGAGUAGCAGCAUUCUGGACCAUGAAGGUAAAAAGCUCCCAUGCCUGCAAACUCCAAAAAGAAACUUGUCCUCCAAAUUCUGAAGGGUCUGUUAUCUGCUUCAAUCCAGGCACAGAGGAGGCUCCAAAUAGAGGAAAAUGAUUGAACGUGUGUAGUGAGAUUUAGGUCAUCAAUCGAAGAUACAAGUAAAUAAGAUCAAAGAUAAAUAAGAUAUGAUUCUAAUAAUAAAAUUUAAAAAUAUAUAAAUAACACCGAAUGAUUAGUGAACCUUUCUCAAUACUUCUUUCGUAUACUGUAGGAAGGCCCAAAUCCAAAUGUAUUAAAAUGGUGGUGACAGUUAGCAUUUAAAUACUGACCAGAGCCUUCACAGCAGGACGCGGAAGCGACCAUUCAUGUGCUGCUAUGACUAAACUCAACCAUCAAAGCCCUUUCCAGCCCUUUCCAGCGCUCCCGACAGCCACCCCAAUAUUAUAUAUUAUCUCAUAUACAUUAAAUAUUUGUAGAAUUUUUUUUCUCUCAACCAAUUAAUUGCAAAUAUUCAUUAAACAAGUACCGAGCAAAACCAAUAAAUUAACUUUUCAUUUUUCUCUUCCCCUGACUCCAAAUUUAAGAAAAAAAAAAUUGCAAAGAAUAUCAAUCAUAAUGUUUUAUUUUAUUUUACUUUUCAUGGGUUUGUCUCAUUUUAUAUAAUUUUUAAAAUAUUAUUUAAAAAAGAAAUGAAUCGAAAGGUCAUGAAGUCAGCCUCCCGUUGUGGCUGGACCACAAAAGCGGAAGAGACACAUGCAGAUGUAGGAAGCAAAGAAGAAGCUUACAAUGAAAUUACUAUUUUAGGCUCCUCCGCUCCUCAUGAAUGAAGUUGACACUUGACACUCGAUUCACAUGAGGUGUUUGUAACAUAUUUCACUUUUCAUGUCCUAAUUUCUUUACUUUUCAUGUCCAAUCUAUAUUUCUUUUUCACAUUUUCGAUUUAUUAAUCUCUCUACCUUCUCUCUCUCUCUGCAUUCACUUGAUAAAAAGCUAAUUAAAUUGCAAAUUUCUAUUCCACAAUGCUUCCAACAAGUUUAAUCUUUAUAUGUAUAAAUCGAACCAAAUCCUAAAGAGUUUGUUCGAGAGUGAGUGCUUAUAUUUUUUUAUGUACUUUUAUUGGAGAACCAAGUUGUAUUUGGAUACAAAUAAGAAAUGUGUCUUCUAAUAAUAACAUUGAGAUAAAUUAUUUUUGAAAAAAACACUUAUCAAGUGUAAAUUUUGAAAUUUCUUAAAGGUUAUAUUUGGUUUUUAAAAAAAGUUUGAGAGAAAAUGUGAAGAAAAAAAAAUAGAGACUAAAAGUAAGAGAAAGAAAAAAUUGAAGAAAAAUAAAAACUAGGUUUAAACUCAAUAAAUCAUUUUUAUCUAAUUUUUCAAACUCGUUUAACUUAUUUGUCUUUAUUAUAUAAAUAUUAAAUAAUUUAAAAAUAUAUAAUUUUUUAUGAAUUUUAAUUAUAUUUGAUUUUCUUUUAUAUUUUUCAUAGUGAAACCAAACAUGAAAAAAUUAUUUUUCUUAACAUGUUUUUCUUCAUUCUUUUUAGGAACCAAAAUAGUUUAAAUUGAAUUUCUAUAUUUUUAAACUUUAUUAAAUAUAUAAUUAUUAUAACAUUAGAAGUUAAUUAUACUAAGAACCCAUAUAGGAGUGAUUUGUUAAGUUUUAUGCUAAACUAACCUAUGUGAACAUCCAAGAGAGGGCAUGAAUUGAGUGUUUGUUUUUUUUUUUGUUAAUAGAAACCACAAAAUAACAAUUGCUUGUAAAUUAAAAAAAAAAGAAAGGAAAGAGAAAAUGUAAAUUCAAGAUUUUAUAAUGAUACAGUCUAAACUCUAAAAUUUGGAUUACCUUUUAAAAUAUUUUAACCAAUAUUUUGAGAAGUCCUCAAGUAAAAAAUGUUUCAUUUAACCCAAUAAGAUUUUUAAGGAAACCUAAAAUAAUUGCAUGAAAAGUUUAAACUUCAAAUAGUCUCGUAAGUUAGGUAGGCUUUCCCAUCCUUAUUAAAACCAGAGUCAUUUAAAGACCAAUGAAUAUCCUAAUGCUUUUAAAAGAAAUACAAUUUUAAUUUUAUGUAUCCAUCAGCUUACAUAGAAUAUGUUAAUGAUAAAGAUGAUAAACAAUUUUUUGUAUUUUUCUCUUUUUAUAUCUUCUUCUUGACAGCUUCAAGGAGAUCUUUUGGAGAUUUUCUUUAUCCACCUUUUGUCUUGUUAUCAUCAAAAGGGGAAUCAAACCUGGUUUAAUAUAAUUUUGAAAGAGGCUUAAAAUACUUUCUAAGUGAUUGGCAAAUAUUUGAAAAUUAUUUUAAAAAAUACGAAGAAUUACUUAAUAAAUGAUUUCUCCAAAAAGAUUUUUUUUUGUUAUAUAGCACAUUAUUAAAAACCCUAUCAAAAUAAUUUAUUUUACAUUACAUCCUAACACUAAGUUUUUUUUAGAUACACUUCUUAUUUUUAAUUUAUAAAAACAAAAAAUGAUAAUAACUUCUAUAUAAAAUGCUAGUAACUUCUGUCUAAAUGCAAUAAUUUUUUAAUACUUAUCUUAAAAAGAAAAUGGUUUUUAAAAUUAUUUUUAAGAAAAAUUAAAGUAUUAAUUUUUUUUGCUCCAUUAAAAUUUUAAAAUAUAAAAUAAUUAUAUAAUUUUUACAUAAAAAGUUAUUAUAUUUUAUAUAAAAGUUCAUAUUAUAUUAUAUUUUUAAAAAUAUAAAUAAGAAAUGUAUCCAAAUAACCAAUAAACGAUUUUUUUUUCAAGUAUUUUUAGUGAAAGCAUUACAAAUGAAAACACUAAAUAAUGUUUUCAAUUCGGGCUCUAGUCAUCUGAGCCUAUGAGAAUUGGCAUGUUCAUUGAGGCCACUUACCAAAGCUCCAGACGUAAAAGGAAAGCACGUAGAAUCACCAAUUGAAAUGAUUAAUUAUAAUCUGAUAUUCAUUCUUUAAAUACUUGUAAACAAGAAUAAAAUGAAUAGGAGACUAUUUUAUAGCUUUUUGCAUAAAUUAAAAAAGAUGGAUGGGUGCAUUGAUAUUUUUAAUCCUAAAAUAGGAAAAAUGAAUGAAAUAAUAAGGCCAAUUAAAUCAUGUUCUCUUAAACUUGUUUUUUAAAAUUACUUUAAAUUAAAUAAAAAAUAGAUUUUUGGCAUUUUUCUUAUGACAAGAGUGUUUGGAAAAUUAUUUCUAAAAAAUAUCUUUCAAUUUUUAAAGAAUAUAUUCUUUUGGAUAAGCUGUUUUUAAAAAUUAUUUUUAUUUUAAUUUUUUUUAAGUUGUAAAUUUAAUUUAUAUUAAAUUCAAUUCAAAAAUUAAUAAAAAUAUAAAAUAUUUUUAAUGUUGUAAAAUUAUAAAGUGAAAGGGGAAGAAAACAAGAGAAAUCAGAAUAUAGGAAGAGAAUAGAAUGCACAGGAAAACUCUAUGUAUUAAAUUUCAUUAGGGGUCUCUUUAUGGAUGAUCAUCCACAAGUUACCAUAGUGGUACAAAAUCUCAUAUUUUAUAACAUUCCCCCUUGGAAGAUCAUAAAAAUAUGCCUCAUUAAAACCUUCUAGGAAAAACCAUAUGGGAAAAACCCUAAUGAAGGAAAAAGAGUACAAUAUUCUUUUGGAUUACAAUAACUGCCUCAUUUAAUACCUUGGGGUUUGAAUGACUGUGCUACUUUGGUGAGUGUACUAAUCAUUAGAAGUACAUGUGCGUAGCUCUUAUAUAAACAAAAACAUGUAAAACAUCUAGGGUGUGGUUUAUUAGUGAUGAGGAGACUGUACGAUUUGAAUGUUGAGGAGGUGUGCAGUUUGAUUCGUUUGCUAGUCUAAGAAAAAAAGGUGAAGAUUUUCUUGGCUUUAGUAUACUAAGUGGUGUGCAAUCUUGAGGCGCCUGAGAAGGAUGCACAAUUUGGUUCAACACACCAAAAAGAUGUAGUAGAGAGUUCAUAAGCACUUAGUCCCUAAGAAGCACUUAAAAGGUAUGCUAGGUGGCUUUAUGCUCGGUUAAAAGUGAGUAAUGAGUGUUUUGCACACUUAAAAGGUAUAUAAUCUAUGUUCGUCUUUUUUUUUAGGCAUGCUUGUCUUUUAAAUGCUUCUAAGGCUGACUUGUUGCACCAAAAAUACCUUAAAGCUUGCAAAAUACUCACAAAAUGCGUUAAAUAUACAUUUCUAAGAUACUAACAACAAAAGCAAACACUACGUUAGUUUUGAGUGUCUCAAACACACUAAAAUAAGCUCUUUAGGGUCAUCGAAGUGUUGAAUUUGAGUUUUUAUCAAAGAUGAUGACUUUUAUUACAAAUGUAGGAAUUACAAUGAUCAUUAGACUUUAACUCUAACAUAGGAAGAGACUUAGUUGACACUAAUUUUUUAAUAAUCUAGUGCAUCGAAUGACUAAAACAUUGAUGCCAUUGGUGGAAAGAAACACAGGUGGAAAUGGGAGCUUAAGAAAUCAUUGUUUCAAUCGAAACGUGUUUGGCCACUCAUAAAUAUUCCUUUUACUUGAGCCUUGGAUAAGUAACAAUUUUAUUGUCAAAUCUUUCAUUAUAAAACAAGUUGGGAAAAAUUCAAUGGAUGUGUUAUUAUGUUUACAAAGCCAACAAACAUACACUAAAAUUUAUUUAAUAUUUAAGGGCUAAGAAUAUUAUUCAAUUUGAAGGUAGAUUUUGGAGUAAUAAGAGAAGUGGUGCCAGUGAGGGAUGGGUGUAACAAAUCCAUUGCCCAUAAGUAUUCCAUCAUUACCUUUAUAUGGUGAGUGAAUAGAGAGAUUUUCAAGGUCUAGGAUGAUGCAAUGAGAUGCACCCGAGUCCAUCACUUAAAUGGUGUUGUUUUGUCGUCUAUCAUUUACCUAGUUUGUCUAUGUUUUGAAGUGAGCUUGAUUUUUUACUUUUGCAAACCUUUACACUUUGACCAACUUUCUCACAUAUUUGGAAAAUGAUUUUGGAUUGAUUUGAGUUGUUAUUAGAUGCUCUUCAUUGUUGUUGACCUUUGUUUAUUAAGUUGGAAUUGUUUCCCAAAUAGUGGUUCUUGAAGUUAUUUCAAUUAGAUUAUUGUGAUUACUAGUUGUUGUUAUUGAAGUUUUAGUUUUAUCUCUUGUGAUUGUUAUUGUUCUCCUUCUACUUGUUUAUAUUGGUUUUGUUAUUGUUAUUGAAGUAUUGUGGAGAAAUUUGGAUAUGACAUAUCAUACAAUAAGACAUCUAAAGCGAAGCUUAAAGCACUUGCUAACUUAUUUGGUGAAUUUUAUAAGUUAUACGUAGAGCUGCCAUGUUUUUUCAUUUCCUUAGAGCAGGAAAAUCCAAGAUGUGUUGUAAUUUCAAAGACAUUUCCUAGUAAUAUGCGAAACACAAAGAUAUAUUAGUGAGUUUUUUAGGCAUUUCAUCCAUCUAUUGAAGGUUUCAAACAUUGUCGCCCUGUACUUAGUAUUAAUGGUAUACAUUUGUAUGGGGAAUAUAAAAGCACUUUAAUGAUUGCUAUGGGUUGCGAUGAAAAUAAUUAGUUAUUCCCACUUGCUUUUACUCUAAUAGAGGAUGUGAAUAUUGAUAGUUGGGUAUGGUUUUUAGCAUGUAUUAGAAUUGGAGUAACUCAAAAGAGAGGACUUUGUGUUGUAUUAGAUCGACAUCCAAACAUUAUGACUGCAAUGAGCAAUGUUCAUCUUGGUUGGUCUAAGCUAUAUGCAUAUCAUAGGGUUUGUAUGUGUCAUCUUGCUAGCAAUUUUAUGACCUGAUUUAAGGAUAAAAUACUAAAAAAUCUAGUAUGUAGAUCAACCUUAGCAACUAAGAUUGAAAAAUUCAAUAAACAUAUGAACACAAUUAGGAGGAUUAAUAUAGUAGAAGCACAACAAUGGUUGGAGACAAUCCUUUUUGAGAAAUGUGCGUUUUCUCACAAUAGAGGUCGAAGAUAUGACAUCAUGAUUAUAAAUAUGUCGGAGGUGUUCAAUAGCGUGCUUAAAGGGGCUCAUAGCUUACUCGUAAUUGCCUUGGUUCAAUUGACAUUUUUUCAGGUAAAUAUUUACUUUGUUAUGAGAAGGGAAGAAGGUGCUAAUCAACUAGUUUUGAGUAAGGAAUACACUUUAUAUGUCGAUGCUAAGAUUAAGGCAAAUGUGGUUAAGGUGGGAUCUCAUGAGAUUGUUUUAUAUGAUCAUAUCUAAUGAUGAUUCCAUGUGAAGAGGGGUACUUAAGAGUAGCUCAAGUGGUGGUUGAACAUAUCAUGUUAACUUACAUAAGUAUGCAUGCACAUGUGGUAAAACACUCAUAUAUGGAUUCCCAUGUAGUCGUAUUUUAGCAACAUGUCAUUUUUGUUCGGUUGAUUUUAUAUCACUUGUUUAACACUAUUAUAGUACAUAAUCAUACUAUAAUACUUGGGCACCCUUUUUCACUAUAAUGGUUUGAUUAUCAUGCUUUCUAAGUUGAUGAAACAUGUGUCAAGUGGAUGACCUAAAUCAAGUUGUUUGCAUAAUGAAAUGGACGUUAGAGAUGAAAAGACUUCUAUUAUAUGUGGGUUAUGCAAACAAAGUGGUCAUAAUCGUUGGUCUUGUCAAAAUAGGAAUAGAAUUGAUUAGACCAUGUGAUAUAUGCAUGUAGUUUCAUUAAUAUUAUGGUGUAAACUACCAGGAUACUAUCUUUAUGCAAUUAUUGGGUUUGGUUGUUAAUGGUUUGAUUAUAAAUAUUGAUGUUAUUUACAUAAUCAACUUAUUUGUAUUUGGGAUAAUGUCCAUACUAAAGGGGAAACUUUGUCAAAAUUUUUGAAAAUUUUUAUUAGAAAUAUUAACAAUAUGGUCCAUAAAUGAAUUUAGACUAGUAUGAGUUGUUUAUUGGUCAUAAAUGAUUUGAUAUACUUAAAUUUAUCAAAUUGAUAUAUCAUGGUUUUGUUGAUUAUUUGAUUAUGAAUAUUGAUGUAAUUUACAUAAUCGAGUUAUUCAUAUUUGGGAUAAUUUCUAUAAUAUAGGGGAAACUUUGUUAAAAUUUUAAACUUUUCUAUUAUAAAUAUUGUUUAUUUAAAAACAUGAAGUAUUAUUUAUUUAUUUUCACAAUUUUGUCAUAGAUAUUGAGUACAAAGGACAUAGUUUUGAUCCAGAUCCAUUAUAUAAGCUUAUUUUGGUUCUACAAGAUAGAUACAAGUCUCAUUUUGUUGACUCUAGUUAGGUAUGUAUAUGAUAACACGUAAUAACAACUACCCCAUUUUGUUGAGGAGUUCUAGGAGCCGAAAAAUUGUGGUUAAUACCAUGCUCAUUGCAAUAAUCUUCAAAAUCAAUAUUUUCAAACUCUCUCCCAUGAUCACUUCUUAUUCAAGUAACUGUAAAACCUUUUUCAUUUUGAACCUUGUUGCAAAACUUUAAAAACUCAUAAAAGGUUUCAUUCUUUUGACUUAAAAAUAAGACCCAAGUGUAUCUAGAGAAGUCAUCCACAAUAACAAAUGCAUAAUAUUUUCCUCCAAGGCUUGGUGUCCUAGAGGGACCAAAUAAAUCCAUAUGCAACAAUUCAAGAGGCCUAGUUGUUGAAAUGAAAUUUUUGUUUUUAAAAGAGUUUUUGAUUUGCUUUCCCGUUUGACAAGCUUCACAAACUUUGUCUUUUUGAAAAUUUAUUUUGGGAAGGCCUCUAACAAGUUCAUCUUUGUUGAGUUGGGAAAUGAGGUUCAUGUUAGCAUGUCCCAACCUCCUAUGUCACAACCAACUUUGAUCAUGCAUGCUUGAAAAGCAUUUAUCAUGGUCAUCAUCUUUUGAAAUAUUUAUUGCAUAAACAUUAUCACAUCUAUGGCCCAUGAAGAUGGUUUUAUCAUUUUGAAUAUCUUUGAUGAUGCAAUGAGAUGCUUGGAAGACUUGUGAUCAUAGGAAACUAAUGUAAGACGAAUGCAUGAGUGUACUUAGGAUUUUCAUACAUUUCAUGCAACUUAGAAAACUCGGUUUAUUCUUUAAAACUUCAAUUUCAUUAAAACCCGAGUUUUUAACAAAUGUACCUUAGGCAAAAUGUUUUAUAAUUGACUUAAUAAUUCACCUAAAGACCUUGCCUAAGUGUUAGAAAAGAAAGGAAUUGAAAAAGAUAGGUUUUUGGGGCCAAAAGGCUCAACCGGUCGAGGCUAUGGCCAACCGGCUCAACCGGUUGAGGAACCAGUCGACCGGUUGAGGAACCGGUCGACCGGUUGCCCUCGUCCGGUUGAGGACCGGUCAAGGGAUGCAUAAAAAGUUUUUCUCUCUCCUAGUAGACUUCUUUUCCUGGUCGAGGUGAUUCUCUUCCCAGUCGAGGUCCGGUCGAGGCAACGGUAACCUGUCAUGCAUUAAAUGCUCCAACGACUAGUGAAUUGAUCGACCCCUAGCUUGACCGGUCGAGGUUACCUUUUAAUUUUUUUGACUCUCGAGCUUAGAAACCUAUAAAUUGAGAGCUCCACUUCAUUUAUUGAUAAGAGAACACUUGCAAUCAAUUGUCUACCUACCUGUUCUUGACCAAAAAGCUCUCACUUCUUUCUUAGUACAUUAAAUCAUCACUUGCAUAUCUUUUAGUGAACUCUUAUGUGUCAUCCUAGCUUUGUCUUGUAUUUGAGUUAUCCUUAAGCUAGGUUGAGGGAUUCUUUCUUGUAAAAUCUGAGUGUUAAAGCCUUUAAGAGGUUUGAAUUUUGAAGAGAUUGUGUAAGAGCUCAUUGGAGCCGGAAUCCAAGUGUAAGAAGAUUAGAAGCUUGGUUGAAGCUUCAAGUUAGUGGAACCCUCACUCGGUUAGGAGAUUAAGGAGAGUGGACGUAGGCAAGGAAUUGCCGAACCACUAUAAAACCCGAGUUUGAAUUCUUUAACUCUAUCUCUUUAUUUUGUUUAUAUUGUGCUUGAACUUAUUGUGAUUGAAAAGAUUUUAAAAGACCCAAUUCACCCUCUCUUUUGGGUGUUUUUUCUUAAUUAAGCAUAACCUUUAUUUUCUCAGUAUUCAUGAGCCUCUCAUCAUUGGCAUAUGUGACAUAGAUUGGUCACGACUAUGUCAUGAAUUUUAGGUGUGACCCCCCUACAUUUGAGAUGAGAGGGUCAACAAUAUUGACAUGGUGAUUAUAUCAUCAAUUCUCUCAUCCGUCAAUAGAUUUAGAUGAUGCCACAUUAGAGCUAUAUGCACGAGCUUUCAUAUUGGCACUACUAGGUUUAGCGCUAGUUACAAACAAGAAGAGUAUGAACGUUCAUAUGUGUUAUUUCUCAUUGCUUAGAGACUUUACUCGAAUAUCUUUGUAUAGUUGGGGUAGUGCAGUUCUAGCACACCUAUAUAGAGAGUUGUGUCUAGCGAGUUUAGAAGGUGCCAUCAAUAUUGCUAGAUGUGUCACAUUAUUAUAGGUAUAAUUAAUUAUUCAUAUUAGAUUAAAAUUUUUAGUUGCUUGAAGUUUAUAAUUUACGUAACAUUAUUAAUGUUAUAUUUUUUCUAGUUAUGGUCUUAGGAGACUCUUCACGUGGGUCGACCACCAACCUCUCUAGCAGCUCAACAUUUAGAUCAUUAUGCAGCUAAUGAUUUACUAGUUGAGGGUCUUAUUAAGGUACAUAAGGGAUUAUUGGAUGAGGCAUUAUCAAACAAGAUUUUGCCAACUGAUCUGUUAGGAUGUAGGUGGAGAGUACUUUUAUCAUGGGCUCAUAACCUAUCACGUGUGUUGACAUUUUAUCGAGAUCAAUUGAAUACACAAACCCAUGACCAGGUACAUAUAGGAUGUAAUGUAUUAUUGUUAACCAUAUAAGCAUUAACGUUAUUUAUGUCAAAUGUUGAUAUUUACAGGUUUUAUGAGAGCCUUACAUGGGAGACUUAGUUGCCCAUUUUCUAGUGAUAUCUCUAGUAGACCUAACGAUUUGGUGAAUGAAGUCACCUUUUAUAUGCUUUGACAUUGUCGAGUGGCAUCAAUCGGAGUGAGUGUUGCAAUAGUUUGGCCUUCAACAAAGGAUGUCUCUAUCUUAUUCAAUAAAACAGGACCUACAUUCCAUGGAUAGGCGAGGAUGACAUAAGUAUGAUUGAGGGGUAUUACAUGCAUAAUAUAUUACCUUAUGCAGAGCAUAAGGUGAGGACGACAUUCCAUCUUAUCGUGCAAUGCCUAUUGCAAUGACACCACCUAUGACAUGUAUUAUGGAGUUCCAUGAUACAUACAUGGAGUGGUACCGACGUAUUGCAUGACAUUUGAUCACAUCCCAUUUCCAUAAGGAUUAGAUGAGGUACCAUAGCACAUCAACAACUACUCAGUUGCUAGUAAGAUUUUUUUUUUUUACUUAGAAAUGGUUUUUUAAAUUAUAAUUAAAGGAAAAUCAUCUUCAAAUAUUUGACUUUUUUUUUUCUUAGAUCACUGGUAUGGUUAAGAUUGCUAGUCGAUUUGGUGGGGCUACUUCAGGUGAAUUAAGCGACAUUCAUCGAAUUGCUACUAAUAUUUUGCAUGUUAUUGGAGAGGAACAUCACAUAUGUUCAGUCCAUGAGUCGUCAACAUCUCAGGUCCAUCCAUGAGACCACUUAUGUUGACCACUACAGUUAGGAUGCAACCUAUUCGAGGCCGAGGGAGAGGUGGUAGGUGAAAUGAUGGGUGAUCUGGUUGACAACCUCAAUGAUCUAUGCAUUCAUUUGAGACCAUGUUACCACAAUUCACUUCAUCUACCCUAAUUGUACCUAAGGUUUCCACACUUCUCCUUUUACCCCAACCAUCAUCUUCACCUAAACCUUUUCUCUUAGAGCACUAUCAUAUUAGAUACUACCUCACCAUUUACCACCCUACCAUUACCUCUAUUUCCUCUCAUAGAGGCCAUUAUUUCUAAUGUCACUACACUAGAGACAACCCCACCAUCUACUAAUCUACCAUCACCUUUACCUUAUAUUCUAGAGACCACUACACCACAUGUUACCUUACCAUCAUCAUCUAUAUCUAAUCUAUUAAAGGCCACUAUAUCAGAUGUUAUUACAUCAAAGACCACUACAUUAGAUGUCAUUCUACCAUCUCCUAUAUCACUUCUCCUAGAAGGCACCAUAUCAAAUAUCACUGUACUUGCGAUCGCCUCAUCAUCUACCACCCUACCAACACCUAGACCUUUUUCCAUAGAGACUACCAUGCAUCAUACCCUCACACAUGUUGCAUAGCUAGAUGUAUGCCCACCUAGGCAACGUCGUGAUCCAUGUAAAUGUCGAGCCUUACCUCCAUCAACUCCAUUUCAACCUACACGUAUGGAGACAUUCCAAAUUGUACAGAUAGAUUUGACAAAUAUGUAUAUGUAUUGUAGAUGUCCAUAGAGAAAAAGGAAGACCACAUUAUGUGGCAUUCAUUAACGAUUGUCUUUUCAUAUUUUGUGUUUAUUUUCAUUUGCAUUACGUCAUUUAUUUAUUUAUUUAUUUAAUUAUGAACAAAUUAUUAUAUAUUUAAAUGAAAAUAUGAUAAAUUUUAAACUUAAAUUGAACUUAUAUAUAUGUGAUAUUAUAUAUCACUUAUAUUAUAGUUUAUAAAAAAUAAUUAAUUUAUAUUAUUAUUUUUCUAAAUAGGCUUUCAUAAUUUAUUUAUUUAUAAAUAAAUAUAAUUUAUAUUUAAAUAUAAAUAACUAAUUAUAAUUUAUAUUAAGUAUAGUGUUAAAUGUUUUAAUAAAAUUAAACAAAAAUAUUUUUAUAUCAAAUUAAAAAUACCAUUUAUUUAAUUUCAUAUAUUAUUUUUAAAAAAUAAUUAUAUAAGUUUAUUAACCACUAACAUAUUUUUAAAAUAAUAUGGUAUUUUUAUUUAAAAAAUUAAAGUUAAAUAUAUAUAAAUUUCAAGUCAAAACCAUAGAUGAUAACUACGACUUUAAAAUCAUAUUCAAAACUGUAGUCACUUAUCAUAGUUUCAACUUUAUGUUUAAAACUGUAGCUGAUAAUUAAAAAAUGAUCAAGGUCAUAAUCAUCAACUACUGUUUUAAGCUUAAAGUUAAGAGCGUGAUUGGUGAUCAUAGGUUUGACCCAUUUUAAAAGAAAAAUUCAAAACUGUUGUCCUCGAUUGCACAUGACCUGCAUGGAGUAGAUUGGGUAUUAUUUUGGAUUUCAAUUUACUUUAAUUUAUUAACAUCCUAUUUUUGGUCAAAACUCUAAUUAAUUUUGGAGUGAAUGCUUAUGCAGCUUUCAGUUCCAGACACCCUUCAAGGCUUGAAUACAACACCGCUGACACCGCUACUAGUUGAUUUUCAUUUCAUUUCAUUUCAUUUCUCUUUUCACUCCUAUUUCAACAUUUUUAACCAAUAAAACAGCUACUCUGCACAAACAUUUCUCCACUCACCCCUCACCCCUCACCCCUCACCCCACAAUGCCUCCUCCCCUCUCUUCUCCUGUUCCUUCUCCUUCUCUCCCCUGCUUUCUCUCCCUUCUUUCUCUCUUCUUCUCCCUCGUUUCCUCCUCUCCAAACUCCCCCAUCACUCUCCCUCUCUCUGCUUCCAAGCCAUCCCCACCUCCUGAUCCCUAUCGGAACCUCCGACACUUGGUCUCUGCCUCCUUAAUCAGGGCUCGCCACCUCAAGAACCCCAAAACCACACCCACCUCCACAACCCCACUCUUCACUCACAGCUAUGGUGCAUACUCCAUUCCUCUCUCCUUCGGUACUCCACCUCAGACCCUUCCACUUAUCAUGGACACUGGAAGUGAUCUCGUCUGGUUCCCUUGUACCCAUCGCUAUGUC
Molecule: long non-coding RNA, 87049 nt
Filed under: Vitis vinifera (wine grape)
Lineage: Eukaryota; Viridiplantae; Streptophyta; Magnoliopsida; Vitales; Vitaceae
Description: long non-coding RNA (VVIN_LNC001991)
Source: RNAcentral